AGAGUUACAUGACUGACAGAAUCUUUACGUUCAAAUAUUUCAUCCAAUUUUACAAAAAUUUAUGAAUUUUUUUUUAAAAAUAUUUUAUAAAUUAUUGUUCUAUUAAAAAAUAUGUAUACUUAUUCACAUGUGUUUAUGCCGCAUUGUACGGUUAAUCAUGGAAAGUUAAAUAUGUUAUUGUUAAAAUCGAAACGACGAAAAAUAGAUCCAGAAAAUAAAUUAAUGCAAGAAAAGAAAAGAUAAGGAAAGAACACACCGAUAUUUACGUGGUUCGGCCAACGGCCUACGUCCACGGGCGAAGACGGAGCAAAUAAUUUAUUAAUGUCGAAAAGGCGAAGUACAAAGAAGAUCUCUCGAAGAAACCCGGAAACCAAAGUAAAUAUAUAUUCGACGCGCGUUACCAUAUACGGCAUCUUCUUAGCACGUCCUGACAAUAUAUCUUGGCUCGGCUCACCAAAACAAGAAAGUACGGCACCAUGCACAUUGGCUGAUGGUGUUGCUGCCACCGUACACCAUCACAAGCCACUUAAUUAAUUAGUGCAUCACAACUCCUCCGCGGAAGCAAGCAACCUCAACUUUAAUUAAUUAGCAUGGCAUCAUAAGGCCAGCUCCUUGACCGUACAGAACCAAGAACUCUCAAGCUUAAUUCGAGUCGCGACUUCUUAAUUUUUGGUUGCGGCGUCAUUAACUUGGCCGUAGCAUGUAUAUAUAAUACAUGUCUCCUAAUUAGAGUCUAAUUCUAAUUCAAUUAGAAUUACACUCCUAAUUAAAAUCCAUAUAUGCCAAAUUAAAUCUAAAUAAUAUCUAAUCCCAAUUAGAUUAGGAUUUAACUCCAAUUUAGAUAACUACAAAUCUAAACCAAAUAUAACAGUUAUCUUAUAUAAAUAUUUGGUUACCUUAAUUUCAUUAUAUCUUUUCUUUUAUAGAAUAAUAGACAUUCCUUAUAUUAUUGUAUACUAUAAUUCAUUAUUUACCAUGUAUUUGCUUGACCUCUCUUUAUACAAAGAGGUAUUUUGUAAUUUAUAAAAUCAAAGAGAAAUUAUAUUUCUUCUCCAAUUAUCUUUUGUUUCAUGGUUUCAGAGCGUGACUAGCUUGAUCACUAGCUUGAUCUACAAAAGCUGGUCGUCACAAGCUCACCGUAGGUAUCUCCCUAUCUAGUUCUGUCAUCAUAUCCGCACCUCCAUCGAUGCCGCCUGUACUGCCUACACAGUUUCCUACACCGACUAUUGCUAAUUAGCUCGAUGUUAAACUCUCUGAGCCUAAUUAUCGUGCAUGGUCGGUGUCCAUUCAACUCUUGUUUGAUGCUCUCGAUCUAACUAGACAUAUUGAUGAUGCUGGUCCACCAACCGAUGAUUCUAAACUCAAAGACUAGCUUGUUGCUGAUCGACGUGCUUGUGGAAUUAUUUCUACAUCAGUAAACAUAGACAUUCGGAUGCAGCUUAUCAAUCUGUCCACCGCUCACCAAAUGUUGUCUCUUUUUCGGCAGAUGUAUGAGCAAUCCAGCUAUGCUAUACUGAGUUUCAAGAGAUCUCCAUGGUGCACCAAGGUGAGUGUAGUAUUCAAGAGUUUUACAGUUUUAUGCAGGCUCGUUGACAUCAACUAGCGACCAUGGAUGAACCCAUGUGUCGCACUUGCUUAGCUUGUCAGUAUACUGUCAAGCAAAAGCAGGUGCGUGAUCAACAAUGAUUGUUCUAGUUUCUUAUGCACCUAUGACCUGAGUUUGAAGUGUUACAUGACCAACUACUCCAUCGAACUCCUUUUCUUACUAUUGAUGUAGCUUUCGUGGACUUGAUUGCCGAAGAGACACGUCUUCGAGUUUUGAGUUCCUCUGUUUCUGUAAUGCCUAAUAUUCUUGCUGCUCAUGGUCCUGCUACUCCACCUCCUAUGCCGGCGCCUACUUCUCAUCAUCAACCAUCUUCUAAUUACAUCCCAAAUCUUGGUACUAGAAAAGACAAGCGGAGCAUUCAUUGUCGUUAUUGUCAUCUUUGGGGCCACUUAAUUCAAGAUUGCCGUUAAAAGAAAUAGGUAGAUCAGCAUUUGCGAUCCUCUUAUGGUAUGCCUACUGUUGCAUCUGCUCCUUCUAUUCCUCUGGUCAACAAUGCGUUAUCUACAGAGCAGCAACCUUCGACUAUUCAAUUGAGUCUUCCUCAACUAUUGCAGAUGUUUCAGCAAUCCCAAUUAACACCAUCUACUUCGUUAGGACAGUCCUUUGUCUUUCCGUCUACGCCAUCAAGCUUUGGUAUGACUGAUCUUGGAGGUACUUUGGAGCAUUCCUUGAUUUUAGAUUCAGUCGCAUCAUUUCAUAUAACACCACAUGUUUUUUUAGUUUCUUCACCUUCUCAAUUUAAUUCACCUUCACAUAUUUUUACUGUUGAUGGUACCUCUCUUUCUGUCAAUCAUAGUGGCACUAUUUCACCUAAAAUUGAUACUUCAAGAUGCUUUAUUAUUCCCUCUAUCAUACAUAUAUCACGACUCUCUCUUAAUUUAUUAUUUAUUAGCCAAAUUACUAAUCAUAACUGCACAGUGACCUUUGAUUCAUCUUAUUGUCAUGUGCAGGAUCGUCGGACCGGGACUUUGAUUGGACAGGACCAUAGACGUGACGGUCUGUAUUAUAUGGACUAUUUGUACCUUCCUUCUAAAAUUAACUAUGCGAAUAUUGCUACAACUCCAACUUCCAAUCUUCGGCAUCGUUGUCUCGGUCAUAUCUCUUUUGAUAAGUUUAGUGUUUUAGUUCGUCGUGGUGGAUUAGGCUCUGUUUUUAAUUCUUAAUCUAUUUCUUGCAUUGGAUGCAAACUUGCUAAACCUUCCAUUAAACCUUUUCUUGUUAGCAAUUCCGUUUCAAGUGCACUAUUUGAUCUUAUUCACUUUGAUAUUUGGGGACCGGCACCUAUAUCAACCCGUGUUGGAAAUAAAUAUUAUGUUAUUUUCAUUGAUGAUUACUCAUGUUUUACCUGGAUUUAUUUUAUACAUAACAAAUCUGAACCUUUUCAAUUGUAUCAAAAUUUCUCUAACAUGUUUCAAACUCAAUUUGGUGUCACUAUUAAAACUUCUUGCUCUGAUUCUGGUGGUGAGUGUCUUUCGAAUGAAUUUCGUCAAACUUUUUGCUAAAUAUGGUACUUUGCCGCAACUUUCUUGUCCUUAUACGCCUUAAUAGAGUGGUGUUGCUGAGUGUAAAUAUCGACAUGUCCUUGAAACUGCUCGCUCUCUUCUAAUUGAUGGGCCUGUGCCUAAACAAUUUUGGGCUGAUGCUAUUUCUUUCACAAUUUAUUUGAUUAAUAUUAUGCCCUUUGGUAUGUUCUCUGGCAUUUCCCCUAGUGAGAGAUUGUAUGCUAAUUCACCAUCUUACUCAUUUUGCAUGUUUUUGGAUGUACUUGCGUUGUUCUCCUGCCCCUGCAUAAACAAGCCAAACUAACUCAAAAAUCCUCUAUUAAUUUGUGUUUUCUUAGGACAUAGUAUUUAGCAUAAAGGAUACAAAUGUUAUGAUCCUACUGCUCGUUGUAUGCGAAUCUCUCGAAAUGUCAUUUUUCUUGAACAAUUACCAUAUUAUGCUCAAUCCAAGUUAAGUGUUGAUCCCUUUGUCGUUUUAUCACCUUCUGUUGUUGAUCUUUCCUUCCUUGUUAUUCUUCCUCGGCCACCACAUUUUCUCCUGAAGAGCCCCAACCUAUUGACUCUGAGCCUACUACGUCUUCAUCUUCUGCAGAACUUCCUAUAAUACCGGUACCUCAUGACGUACGACCCACCAGUUACUGUUCCAUUCGACGAUUUGACGACGGCUGAGCGUCACUAUCCAUUGUGUACUAAUCACCCCGCGAAAUGUUUUGGUUGUCUUACCUCUCCUUCCUUUUCUCCACGAUAUCAUACUUUUCUUGUGGCUAUUUCUAAUAUCCAAGAACCACGUACGUACUGUCAAGCCGUCUCCAUUCCUGAAUGGCGGGACCCAAUGACCAUAGAACUUACUGCUCUUCAUCGUACUGGUAUUUGGGAACUAGUUCCCCUCCCGCCUGGCAAGACUCUGAUUUGUUGUAAGUCAAUAUAUAAAGUCAAGACAAAUUCUGAUGGUUCAAUUGAUCGCUAUAAGACUCGUUUAGUUGCUCGAGGGUUCUCUCAAGAAUAUGGCAUUGAAUAUGAGGAGAUGUUUGUCCCUAUUGCUAAGAUGAUCUCUGUUCAUGUCCUUAUUGCUAUUGCUGCUUCUCGUAGUUGACCUCUUUACUAACUUGAUGUUAAAAAUGCCUUCUUACAUGGCAAUCUUUAUGAAGAAGUUUAUAUGCAACCACCUCUUGGUCUUUCCCAUCCAUCCAGUCAUGUUUGUCGACUUCGAAAAGGCUUUAUACGGUCUUAAAUAAACUCCUUGAGCUUGGUUUGAAAAAUUUCAGUCUGCUAUUAUUUCUUUUGUAUUUCAUCAAAGAAAAAAAUGAUUGUCUUAUUUAUUCACACUUUUGCUCAUGGGCUCACUGCCUUACUAUUGUAAGUUGAUGAUAUGAUAAUUACCAAUGAUAAUCUUGAUUGUAUUUAUUCUGUUAAAUCCUAUCUUCAGCAAUAAUUAGACAUGAAAGAUCUUGGCCCUCUUCGAUAUUUUUUGAGAAUUGAAGUGGCUUAUAAUGUUCGAGGAUAUAUAUUGUCUCAACAAAAAUACAUUGCUGACUUGAUAUCUCGUGCUAGGCUCACCGACAUCGACACUGUGCAUACUCCUAUGCAGCUCCACCAAAAACUAACAAAUAUGGGCGAACCUUUCACUAAUCCUACCCGUUAUCGUGAGCUAGUUGGUGCGUUAGUAUAUCUCACUAUAUCUCACCCAGAUAUUGCUUAUGCGGUCCAUAUUGUUAGCCAAUUUAUGCAAGCACCUACUUCUGUUCACUAUGCUGCUCUUUUACGCAUCUUGUGCUAUUUGCGAGAAAGUAUUAGUCAAAGUUUAGUAUUUUCUUCCUUUUCCAAGCCUCAACUUCAUGCCUAUUGUGAUACUGAUUGGGUUGGAGAUCCUACUGAUCGUCAGUCUACGACUGGCUAUUGUAUUUUCUUUGGAGAUUCUCUAAUUUCCUGGCCGUCAAAGAAAUAUGAUAUUGUUGCCAAAUCUAGUACAAAAGCUGAAUAUCGUGCUACGUCCUUUGCCGCCGCAGAAAUUUUAUGGCUUCGUGGACUCCUCGGUGACCUAGGUGUCCAGUGCUGUACUUCAAUACCUUUAUAUUGUGACAAUCAAAGUGCGAUCAAAAUUAUGAAUAAUCUUGUCUUUUAUGAACGUACUAAACAUAUCGAAAUUGAUUGUCAGUUUGUGCACUAUCAUUAUAUUAAUGGAACAAUAUCUUUGCCAUUCGUUCCCUCUGCUCAACAACUUGCCCUUUUUUUUUACCAAAUCUCAAACUAUUCAACGUCAUCAAUACCUUCUAUCUAAACUCUCAGUAUUUAUUCCACCUUGAGCUUGCGGCGGGGGUUACCUUAUAUAAAUAUUUGGUUACCUAAUUUUCAUUGUAUCUUUCUUUUUAUAGGAUAAUAGACAUUCCUUAUAUUAUUGUAUUCUAUAAUUCAUAUAUGAUUUACUAUGUAUUCGCUUGACUUCUAUUAUAUAAAGAGGUCUUUUGUAAUUUAUAAAAUCAGAUUCUUCUCCAAUUAUCUUUUGUUUCAAAAUAUAGUAUCUAAAUCGAUUUAUCGACUGUGUUUGAGAUAAUAUUGCAUGCAUCCAAUGCAACAUAUGAUAGUACACAAUAAUCUUAUUUCAAUUAUUUUUAUUUUUUUGUAAAUAUAAUUUGAAAUAAAAAAAAAUUAAAUUAUUGGCCAAUAGUGAGCCAAGUAUAAAACAUGACAAAGAUAAUGACCUGCACUGUGCACGACCCACAUGGUGCAAUAAUUGCUCGGAACAUUAAUUCGAUGCAUAUGCUCUGAACUGCAAACAAAACUACUUAAUUACUUUCAAAGCUUCUGCGAUUACGUGCUCAAACUACGUGACACAUAAUAUUUAAAUCCUUUUAUUUUAAUUUAUUAUAAUUUUUAGCUUGAAUUUUAAGAAUUAUUAUAAUUAAAUUUCACACUUCAAUUUAGUUAACUAAAUUUUAAUACAUCGUUGAUAUAAAAGCCUUAUGUCAUCUUAGAUAACAUUAGCACUACGCCAUUUCUACAUCAGCCAGAGAUCAAUAUUUAGCCAACUAAAUUCAGUUAUAGAACUUGAUUGCAAUAGUUCUGAAGUUUCCGUGAUUAUAGUUUGAGGGCCAAAUGCGUAAUUUAUCUUACAUGCCACUAUCAGUGCUAGAAUGAGAAAGUCUUGUACACGAAAGAGACUGGUAAAUUACUCGGUGAUGGUUCAAUUCCAUUCGCUCAUCUCACUUUUAAUUUUACUAAUUUCGCUGUAAGAUAUAUAGAACCUUUGACUCUAGAUCAAGAUAAGGGAAUACUUUUUUUCUUAGAGAUAUAUAGGCAGCAUGCUAUCUGUUUCGUAUAUUUUAUUUAAAAAUAAAUUUAGUUGGAAAUUCGAAUCAAUUAGAAUUCGAAUUUGAGACCUCAAAUAUCAACCACUAAAUUUUUUAUCACUUGCGUUAGAAACGAUGGAUGGAAAUACUUUUUUUUUUUUUUGAGAGAGAGAUAGGUAGCACACUACCCGUCUCGUUUAUUUCAUUUAGAAAUAAAUUUAGCUAGAAAUAUGAAUCAACUAGGAUUCGAACUUGGGUCUCGGAUAUCAACCACUAAAUUUUUUGCCAUUUGCUCUAGGAAUGACCAAUUUUUUUUUUUUAUUUUUGUGAGCGUAGACUUUAGUUAAGCCGCACAAUCUACUAAAAUAGAUAUAUAUAUAUAUAAUAAUUAAAAAAAGAGUUGUACAAUAUUACAAAGUAGCACAAAGGAUGCCAAAUAUAGAACGUACUAGGGGGAUACCCUAAGCAUUCGCCCUUUCCAAAAGAAACUCUGUGCAGGCGCACUGCAGGGGAGCAUUGAUGUAACAACCCCCAAAAAGGAGCAUGCAUCAGCGACUCGGCGACACCCCCACCACCGGGCACUACCCAACACCUGCAAAGCACAAAAGGGGACUCGCCAUCACAUGCAUUUGUCCUCAUCCUCCUCGUCCUCCUCCUCCUCGCCCCCAGAUCCAAAUCUAUCUCCCACACAAGCAACUAAUCAUACAACAGAACCCCCUCUCCUCCCCAUCCCCACCAAACCAAAAAACAAAACAAAACAAAAAAACAAACAAAAGGAAAACAACUUAGCUAGCUUAUAUAUUAUUAGAGUCUUAAUGUGAGAUCGAGCUCGGGCUCAUCCUCACUACUAUUUUGUUGGUGUUGGUGUUGGUUUUGGCGUGGUGGUGGGAGGGAUGGGUCGACGUUGGAGUGGUGGGGGUGGUGGUGGUGGUGGUGGGAGCCGCGUUGCCAGUUGAGGAGAUCGAAGAGCUCGUCGGGGCCGACGGGGGGGUCGGCGGCGGCGGACAUUGCGCGGUUGGAGCUGACGGAGGCGAGCAGCGGCAGGUGGGCGGCGAAGCGGGCGGUGCCGCCGGCGGCGGCGUAGGAGCUGUUGGCGUAGCCCCAGAAGCACGAGCUGCCGCCGUCGUACGCGGGCGGCGCCGAUCGGCACGAAUGGGAGGCGAGCUGGAAGGCGGUCGGCCCGGCCGUCGGGUAUGCAGGAGGGAGGUAGAGGUCGAGGUCGGACUGCAGGCCGCCGACGCUCCUCUCCUUCUUGUGCGCGUUCUGGUGUCCCCCCAGCGCCUGCGAUUUCAGGAACUUCUUGUUGCAGAACAGGCAGGGGAACAGCUUCACGUCCGCCCCGCGAUGAUCCUCCUUCUCCUCCUCCGCCGCUGUCGGAGAGCCCGCAGCAGACAAGGCGAGAGAGAGGCUGGGGGCGGAAGGUGGUGCUGGUGCUGGUGGUGGUUCCAUUUUUCUGGGUUUAGGGUUUCUAUUAUUAGCAACUCUAUGUAUUUAUGUGCGCGAAUAUACUUUGCAGGAGGAGUGAUUUACUAGUUUUCUGGACAGCGUAUAUAAUUGUUUUAUUAUUUCCCUGCUCUUCGUUGUCAAGAAGCAUUUAGGCCUCAUCUACAGUAGGAAAAUUUUAAGGGGGGGACCAUUCAUUCCAGCAGCUGCGGGACCAUAUAAGAGUGUAUUCUACAGAUCUAUUUGUUCCAACCCAAGCAGAUUUGAUUUCUUUGGAUUGAAUCAAAUUUAUUUUUGGCUGAGUUAGAUUUCAGAUAAAGAAUUUACUGUAUCUUCGCCGUUUGUUUCUACAGCUAUAGAAGUUGAGUUUUACCGGCUCUACUGUUUGUUCCGCACCGCAGAAAGUGAAUAACGUAAUAAAUAAUAAAUUAUAAAAUUAUUUUAUUUUCUGUAUUCUUGAUAAACUUACCUCUACUCUACUGUGAUAUUCUUCUCUCUCAUUUAACUUAAUAAAUAAUAAAUUAUAAAAAAUUAAUAAGUAAUAUAAUUAUAUUUCUAUACAAUUAUAAAAAUAAAAUUUAAAAUAAUUUUAUUAUUUUUUUGUAUAUAAAUGAUAAUAAUACAACAAAUAAAAUUCUGAAGUUAAAAAAUAAUUAACAUUUAAUAAAUUAAUUUCAUCGUUUAAAAUUUAAACGUGCAAAUUAAAUAAAAAGUAUAUUGAAACUUAACUAACCAAACUUCAUCAUAUUUUAAACAUACAAUCUAAAUAAAAAAUUAAUCACUACCAUAAUUAAAUAUGUUUGAAUAGAAUAUAAUUAGAAAGAGAGAGAAAGAGAGAGAGUAACCCUACAAGUCACCAUAAUUAAGUUCUUCACUAAUAUUUUAUAAUUUUUCUCUCUUCUUUCACUUCAUCGGUAUUGACUUCAUCCUAUAGAAGAGUAAAGUCAAUUUCGAUAUUUUGGGUGAACUGGAUAGCGAAAGUGAUCAAUUUUCGCUGAAAAUUAAUUUUUCGCUCCCCACUUACGGUAAAAUAAGCAAGCCCUAAACCGCACAAAAUAUUCUAACCUCAAAAAAAUGAAUUUACAAUUAAUACAGUGAUCGCGCACUACAGGGGUGAUCUCAGUAAACAGAUUAGCCCAAUGCUCGUUGAUGAUUUCUAUUGAUUUAAGGCUUUUGUGCUUCAUAUUCUACUUCUAUCUAUUUCUCCCAGUGACAUGAAAAAAAAAAAGAAAAAAUUUUAAAUACCAUCCUGUGAUUUCACACUUUCUCACUUUAGUAUCAUGUGAUUUAAAGUAUAUCAAUAUAAUAUCCUGUGAUUUUAUUUUUUUAUUAUCGUUUUUAUUAAUUUUUUCAUUAAAUUAGUGGCAAAAUUAAAACUAAAGGGUGCUAAAGUGAAUAUUCGAUAAAUAUAGGUAGAGUAUCUGAAGUUCUUUUUGUAUAUAAUUCAACGAAAUAUCAACAAAGAAGCUGAUGAAAAGAUAAAAAUAAAAUCAAAGAACACUAACUUAAUACACUUUAAAUCAGAUAAUACUAAAGUAAAAAAGUACGGAAUACAAAAUUGAGAAAGCAUGAAACCAGAAUGAUAGUAUUUAAAGUUUAUCCAAAAAAAAAAAAAAAGUGGUCGGCCUAAAAAUGAUUGAACCUAGCUAUAUAUCGUGCUCAAAAGUAGCUAGUGCGCCGGACACCAGAGGGUGUAAACAGGAUUGGAAGUGCGAAAGGACUGGGGCAUCGCUCAAAAAGAUGGGUGGGAACAGGAGCUACACAUUAUCACCCAUGAUGAGCUUAGGACAUUUGAAUUGGAUGUAUAAAACUUUACCUGAAACUUUAUAAUGAUUAUAUAUAUAUAUUAAUAGUAAAAUGUUCUUUUUGCUAUCAAAAUUUUAACUUUUGAAUGAAAAAUUAUAAGGUCAGAAUGAUAUUAGUCGGUUAGAGUUGAGUGGUCCCCCUAAGAUUGAGUGGUUCUUACUGGGUUAUACUAUUUAAUCCAAUGGUUAGAAAUAAUGAAAAGAGUUGAUCCAAAGGUUAAAAAACUGGUAGCAACAAUGGAAUUUUGCUACUAAUAGUAGCCCAGUCCAACUCUAUAUAUAUAUAUAUAUAUAUAUAUAUAUAUAAUACUAUAUAUAUAAGAGAGAGAGAGAGGAGAGAGAGAGAGAGAGAGAGAGAAGAGAGAGUGUGCGCCACUAUACUUUAUGAGUACAAUCACAUUUACUCAUAAGUUGUUUUCGAUGAUAGAGCUUCCGAAUCGACGAUCCACACCGUUAAACGUUAUCUAGAGCAUUUAAAACGUAUAGAAAUCAAAUUUUAUAAUUUUUCGACAUCAUUACCUUACGAUCAAGUAUCACAAAAUUGUCAAUUUUUAUCGGCCGUAUGAAAUAUUUAGUAGUAUAACAGUGUAAAAAAAUGAAAUCAGUUGAAUUUUGAUAGAAAUUUCCUAUUCACUAACUAAGAUAAAAGAUCAAUAACUCGAUCUUAAAUUGAAGGAUCCGAGUCAUCAUUUUUAGGAUGUUGUUCAUUUUGACGUCAUUUAUACCCAUUUGAUGGACUUUAUAAUGAUUUUGAAAAAUUACGAAACUUAUUUCUAAAAGUUUCAAAUACUCUAGAUCAUGUUUAACAGUUGGAUCGUCAAUUCGAAAAUUACAACAAGAAUAAUAUAUGAGUAAAAGGUAGCCCUACUAUAUAUAAAUAUAUAUAUAUAUAUAUAUAUAUAUAUAUAUAUAUAUAUAUAUAUAUAUAUAUAUAUAUUAUAGUAUAUUAGAGUGGAGCUAGAAUACUCCAAAGCACCAAGUGUGGUGCUUUAGAUUUUUAGCCUUUGGCCGAAGAGAUGGGAGGUUGAGAUGAUGAUGUAGGUGGAAUAAUGUUAUAUAUAUAUAUAUAUAUAUAUAUAUAUGCCAAUUUAUAUAAAAAAUUAACUAAUUUUCGCUUUGUAAAAUAGGCCGUCUUUUUCGAUUUGCAGAUUCAGACGCGAAUUUUCAGCAGCCUGAAAAGGGGCCGGGCUUUAUUAUAUAUAUAUAUUUAUAUUAUUAUAUAUAUUAAUAAUAUAUUAAUAUAUUAUAUAUAUAUAUAUAUAUAUAUAUUUAAUUAUAGAGUGGAGACUGCUACUCAAAGCCAUCGGUGGCUUGCUGUAGAGUUUUUAGGCCCUUGGCUGGGAGCAGCGGAGUUGAGGAUGAUGAGUAGGUAGUGAAAUAUAUUAAUAAUAUAUUAUAGAUUAUGCAUUUAUAUAAAAUUCAAUAAUUUUUCGGGUUUUGGAAUAAAUAGCGUCUUUUUUCGAUAUUUGCAGAUUCGAACGAAGAUUUUCCGUUGACCAAGAGGUGCAUUUAAGAUUCGUCAGGACUGUACGUUAGGAUAUACAUAUCUCACCGAAUACAAAAGAGGCAGAUGUAGAUGAUGGCAUUUUGGUUAGACGGUUGAAAAUCCGGUCCAAUCUGUAAAAUCGAAAAAGAUGAUCCACUUUUGCAAAAGCGCAAAACUAGUAAAUUCUUUAUACAAAUUAGCAUAUAUAUAUAUAUAUAUAUAUAUAUAUAUAUAUUACUUUUUAUAAUAAAAUCUCUACCGGAACAGCUUUUUUUUUUAAGAAAAAAAAAAAAUUGCGGCGUCCUAGACUGAAAAAACAGUCAAUGGAGCUUUUUUUUUAUUUUUUAUUCUGAAGAACAUUACGGGGGUGACAGAGUCAAAAAGCCUGGGUGCACAAUCCCUUUUUUAGUCCUCCUGCAAACACAAGGGCAAUAUGCCAAUGUCCAAUGAGUGAGCGAGAAAGUGUGGGCACGAGAGAGAGAGAGAGAGAGAGAGAGAGAGAUUGAGAGAGAGCAGGUGUUUUUCGUUUGUUUCACUAUAAAAGUGUAUUUGAUUUCAGUAAAAUUAUAAAAAAAUAAAAAAUAAAAAAAUUUAGUUAAAAAAAAUUUGGGUAGAAAAAUAGUUUUAUGUCGCUAGUGUGAGGAGUGGGUGAUUGGUCCACAUUUGGACCACUCAUGUGGUCCACAAAAACCAGGCUUUCUCGUGGACCGCAUUUUUUUUGAGCGGGGCGCGUUUUGGGAGCAAGUUUUCGUUUUCUGCCAGUGGUGGGCGAAAUUCAAAAAGUUGGUUUUUUUCGAGAAUUUGUACAAAAAAAUUGUUGGGAAAGUAAUUUUCGAUAAAUAUUGAGUAAUCAAAUAAGGGAAAACCACUUUUCAAGCAAAUUUUUUUUUUCCAAAUAGUUUUACAGGCAUUCAAAUACACCCUAAGUGGAGAGAAGGAAAGUAAUUUUCGAUAAAUAUUGAUUAUUUUCGCUAUUUGAUUUACCGUAAUGUUAGUACGGUCGAAAGUUCAGGUCAUCCAAAAUAUCAAAAUUUUCGUCGCUCUCGCAUGGGACGAAGUCUAUUCCGCUAGAGUGGAGAAAGGGGAAACAAACACAGUGGAGAACUUAAUUAUAGUGACUUGUUUAGUAUUAUUUUGUGAGAUAGAGAAGGGUAGCACGCUACUUGUUUCAUUCAGUAAGUAAAUGAAUUUAGCUAUAUUGAGUAAAGCAGCUAGGGCCUCAAGAAGACAGAGAGUCAGCACAAAAAAGAAGAAAAAAGAACAAAAAAGAAGAAAACAAAAAAGUCGAGCAGAGUAAAAACAAAAAAAAAAAAGCAUAAAAAACGAAGGGCGUAACAAACGCUGCCCUCACCCAGUUCUACAAAAAUCAGCUCACUUUUUCGCCAGUACUCUAAUACGGUGGGCAGUAGAAAUAGCGUUCAUAUAUAGGUUCUGAAAAAUAGCGUUUUUUCUUUCGUACCAGAUCAUCAACCUGUGACCCUUUCCCUGACAACUCCUCCCAGAUGAUGUUGACGUCCUCAAUGUAGGGGAAGAUGUGGGGGUCGUCGAGAAGCGAAAUCAAGAAGAACUUGCUAACAACACAGUCCACCAGCAAGUGAUCUACUGUCUCUAGAUCAACGGCGCACAGGACACACCUGUUAUUUCCUGACCAUUCCCUUUUGAUAAGAUUAUCCGUAGUUGGUAGUCUUUUUUUUAAGGCUAACCAAAGAAAAAUUUUAACUUUUAUUGGAAUUUUCAGUUUCUAGAUGGCAGGAGUCGCGACAUCUUUGACACCCCCAAUCCUGAUGAGCGAGUACACUGAUUUGACCGUAUAUUUAUUGCCAGAGUUCUAUCUCGAGUGGAUGCCAUUAGGUUGAUCAUUAACUCGAAAGUUAGUGAGAGUGCUCUUCAGCUCCCUAAUACUCCAUCUACUGAGUUGUGUGUUUCUUCUCACUCUCAAAAUCUUUCUCCACCUCCAUCUGGAGGCAGAGAAACAAUCACUCCCUCGCACUUAUUUAAGGUCAAUGCGAGAAUAAAUAUCUAGAAAGUAUGACUUAAGGGGUGCGUCACCACACCAUCUAUCGUUUCAGAAAUCAAUGAGUAGUCCUUCUUCCAGCCCGUAACUCAAGUCUAUUUUGAAAACUUCCUUCAAUUCUAACAUGUUCUUCCACCAUUGCGAGACUGGUCAAAAAGAUUCUACUAUGAAACAGUGGUCGCCUUCUGUUAUAAUAUAAGCCCUUAAUCAACUUAGUCCAUUAUAGUCCCUAUCAGUAAAAAAAUGCCACCACCAUUUAGUUACCAGUGCAUCGUUUAUGGUGGCCAAAUCCUUAACGCUUAAGCCUCUUUCAUUCCAACUAAUGCACACGUUUUUCCAAACAACCAAAUGGACAACCCCUUUAUAGCUCGCCCGUCCGUUCCAAAAAAAAUUCUUGCAUAACGUCUCCACACGUUUUAAAACCCAUUUUGGUGUUUUAAAAUUAGAGAAAAAAUGCAACGACAGGUUAGAAAGAACUAAAUUAACCAAUGUUAAUAUGUCACCUCUCGAAAGAAGUUUAGCCUGCCAACUGUCAAUCCUUCUCUAGAAAUUUUUAAUGACACUUACCCAAUCUUCUUUUUUAAGCUUCCUAAACAUCAAAGGUAGACCCAAGUAUCCAGUAGGUAAUUUCCCAAGUAUCUAGUGACUUGUUUUGAAUUACUCUUUCUUUAAUUAUAUUUCAUCCAAAUAUAUUUAAUUAUGAUUGUUCUUAAUUUUUUAUUUAGAUUGUAUAUUUAAAAUAUGAUGAAGUUUGAUUACUUAAGUUUCAAUAUAUCUUUUAUUUAAUUUUCACAUUUAAAAUACGAUGAAAACUAAGUUGUUAAAUGAUAACAAUUCUUUAACUUAAGAGUUUUAUUUAUUGCAUUAUUAUAAUUUAUAUACAAAAAAUUAAUAUAAUUAUUUUUAAUUUUAUUUUUAUAUGUAUAGAAAUAUAAUUAUAUUAUUUUUUAUUUAUUUUUUUAUAAUUUAUAAUUUAUUAAAUUAUAAAAUAGAUAAUAAUAUCAUGUAGGAGAUAAGUUUAUGAAGGGUACGAGAAUUAAAUAAUUUUCGGUAAAACAAACAGAAAAAACGGAGAACUGUACUUUUUACGUUAUUCACUUUCUGCCAAACAAAGAGUAGAAUUGGCAGAAUUUCAAUUUCACAACUAUACAAACAAGCAGCAAAAGUGAAGUAAUUUUUCACCUGAGCUCUAAUUCAACCUAAAGUUCACUUCACUUGAACUGUACUUAUGUUGGAACUACACCCAAUGGAAUUCGACGAGGUCGGCACGGCGGAGGUCGAAGUUGGGAGUCCAAGCCGUGCCGACGAAACCCGCCGUCCCCUGAAACGGAUUCGCGUGAGCAGGUCGCGUAGGCCCGACAAAAGUCGAGCUCCACAAUUCUGUCCAAACACCUGUAGCUGUAGCAUUGGUUACAAAAACUCGGCCACUUCAACUCCGGCUUCGAUCAAAACAGAUCCACCAAAAGAGAGAGAGAGAGAGAGAGAGAGAGUUUAGCAAGGAGAGUAGAGUGUGGAAGAGACGGAGAAUGUCUUAUGUGGCUGAAAUUAUUGAUUAAUCCAACUAAGAGAAAGGGAUUGAACAUGGCAUCUGAAAAAAAAAAAAAAAAGAAAAAAAAAAAAGUAGUGUCCUACAGUAAAUCCAUUGAAUUUGCCCCCAUGCCAACAGGCAUAGCACAGAGAUUGUCUCUAUAUGGCUAAAUUAUUGAUUAGUCCUAUUAAGAGAGAUUAGGAUCAAACAAGCACCUAGUAAGAAUUCGACACUUGCUCCGAUACAAGUAGGUGUAUCUAGCAAAGGGCACAAUAAAAUAAAAACUGGUUAAACAUUUUUUUUUUUUUUUGAGAGAGAGAUAUGUAGCAUGCUAUUCGUUUCGUUUAUUUCAUUUAGAAAUAAACUUAGCUGAAAAUAUGAAUCAAUUAGGAUUCGAACUUGAAACUUCAGAUACCAACCAUUAAGCCCUUUGCCACUUGUGCUAGGGCCUGUCAGUAAAACUAGUUAAGCAUGUUACCACCAUAAAAUAGUGUUAAUUACCUUACUUGUAUGAAAAAGAUUAAAUCUUUAUUGAGAUGUAAACUUUUAUUGAAAAUGUACGACUGGAUUCAUAAUUGAAAUUUGGAAUUGAAGUUAAAGCCUACUUAAGUAAAAUUCAGUGAAUGAAAAAAAUUAAUUUAAAUUAAAAAGGUUCAAUUAUAAAAAAAAUUUCUGUUAAUACCUGCUUUUUUUUUUUUUUUUUCCUGUCAUUCAAAAACCUUCACUUUGCCCCCUUAAAAAAUUAAAAAUGUUCACUUUGACCCCCGCCGUCAAUGUUCUGUUAGAGUUCUAUUUAUAUCCCAUUUUUAACACCAAAAUUAUUCCUGAAACCCGCUUUCUUCCUCAUCCUUGGCUGCGCCGCCUCGCCCACUGCCGCGGUGCCGCCUCGCCCACCUCUCUAUCCAUACCCCCACACACACGCCCACGUCCGCCUCUGCCGCCUCACCCUCGUCCUCGCCCAUCUCUCCAUCCACGCCACCGUGAAAAAAAUGAGGGACAAUUUGAUCAUUUUAUCACAGCAUAUUUCCCUGUGAACAUUUUUUAUUUUUUAACGGAUAAAGUACAAAUUUUUAAAUGAUAGGAGGCUAAAGUGAAAAAGUAGGUAUUGAUAGGGAGAUUUUCUGUAAUUUGAAUAAAUAGCUUGAAUUCAUAAUUUGAAUAAAUUAUUAAAAAUUGAAGUUCAAGUUGACACUUAAUUUUGCAAACAAACUUAGAUUUACGUCCAAAUAUGAACUUAAAAACUUAAUUCUUGAAUUCAAAUUAACAUUUUCAGCGUACACUUAAAAUUUAAACUUAAAUUUAAAUUUCUAGAGUUCACAAUUAAAGCUAAAAACAUAAAAUUGAAAUUACAAAAAGUUGAAAAUAAAAAUUUAAAAUAGAAAUAAGAAAUCAAAACUAACACCAAACCACCUUACUCCCAACAAACUCAACCUUUACAUGAACUUUUUGCUUUUGAUAACCAUUUCACGUUUCAACCAGCAGGUUGCAAUUUUUUUUUUUUUUUUUUUUUUUAAGUGAGACCUAAAAAAUUUGGAAUGGUUUUUAAAUUCAGUCAUAAGAUUGUACCAAAAUGCUAGACUUUUUUAAACAAUUGAUGUCAACAUUUUAGUUGGUAAUGUAAAUUACAAAUCUAAAUUCAAAAUCCAUAUUUAAAUUAAAAUUUUUUUUUUAAUUUAAAGCAGAAAUAUUUGAAUUUAUGUAAGAUAUAUAUCUAUUUGAGCAUGCUGAGUGAUAUUGGAAAGGCUAAAUAUAUGAAGUAAAUUUGUUUAUUAUUAGCGCACUACAUAGGAGCACUGCUCUAAACAUAUCUAUUGUAUUCCACUGAAUUUGCCUCUUUGUACUGGUGUAAUAUAGAACUUGUCACGCAGGAAUGAAACUCCUGUCUCUCAAUAUCAACGUUUUAUGAUUUUUUUUUUUUUUUUUUGAGAGAUAGGUAGCAUGUUACCCGUUUUGUUUAUUUCAUUUAAAAAUAAAUUUAGCUGAAAAUGUGAAUCAAGUAGGAUUCGAACUUCGGAGCUCAGAUACCAACCAGCAAUCCUUUUGCCACUUGUACUAGGGACGGUCGGUCCUACCAAAUGAAAUUCAAUAUGUAAUCCUAUCUUUACACUAGAACUUCGAAACGUUUUGAAAUCAUACUUUUAAACUAGCCAUUAGUUGCACGCUUGCGGAGGGAGCUGAGCCUAAAAAAGACACAGUUUAUGGCUGCAGGAGUUAUGUACUCCACAAGGGACUCUAGAGAUGUAACAACCUAGUUUCUAAUCUAUGUUAUGAUGGUAAAAUAUCUCAGUGUGAAGCUAUAUAUUGUGGGUUUGAUCCGAAUUGUGCUCGGAAUAACAUAGAAUUUAUGACCUUUCCGUCCUUAGAUAUGUUUGGCGAGAGUUCAGAAGUUGAUUAGAUUUGUCCCAAAAAAUAAAAAUAAAAAUAAAAGACGAAACACUGGGCCCAAUUUCAGUAAAAGCCCAUUAAGGUCCAGGUCAAAGAUAAUGGGCCGGAUUUAGUACACGUAAUUUGAGCAGAGGCUCAGAUCCGACCCAAAAAAAAUUUAAGUAAUGGCCGAGCACGAACUCUUCUUAUUGUUCUUCUUCUUUUUUGUAGUUGUAAAAUAUAAAUGGUCCUACAAAGGCAAAAUAUAAAAAAGUGUGCACAUUGCCCGAAUUUUGGCGCAUUUUGAAUUUUGGCAUCUAAACUUUUUGAAUUUUCCGCUGUUUGACAGUAUAGUUUAUAAAUCUUUUGAUAGAAAGUAAUAAAUUUUAGUAGAAUUUGACAAAGUUUUUUGAAAUAUAUUUAGAUCUCAAAAGAAAUAUAAGAUUAAAAAGCUAAAAUUUAAAAUUUUUAAAUUUCGGGCAUUCAUUUCAAAAUAUACUAUAGUUUAGGUAACGGCUAAGAAUGGUCUUAUUUGCUCACACUUAACAAAUUUCACACUUUACAACAAAUUAGAGCCCUAAGUGUUCUUUGUUUAGCAUUAACAAGGACCUAAUUAAUUAAAAUUAACCAACCACUCCAACCUCAUCUAAAACACAAUAUCCUUAAUAUUAAAAAGAGAUUCUCCUUAUAUCAUAUUUCCUAAUCCAAGUUGCUUGACCUCUUUCCGCCGAAUCGUUGAAGUUAAUCGUUUAUUAAUGUUAAACUAUGGUUGAUCUUUUUCUUCUUUGGGUCUAGAUAGAUUCAUUGAGAAUAUGAUAAGAGGAUGCAUAAUUCAAAAAGAGUAAAGAAAAAAAAAAGAAAAAAGAAAGAAUCCAUGAACAAAUAAAGGCAAGCAUGCAUGGAAAAAAAAAUGAAGAGCAAAAGUCUCUAGCUAUAUUCUACCUAGUGAUGGCUUAAGAGUCAAAUGGUUAGGUCAUAGGAAGGUAAGUUCCACCUAAUUAUAAAACCAAUUAGCAAAUGUAGGAAUAAGAUAGAGCUUAAUUGUUGUUUUAGGAGCUCAUUAAACACUAUAUAGGUAUAUUGGAACUCAUUUGAAAAGUUAAUUUGGAAGCUUACAUUAAUUGUAUAAUUGCAUGUUAAUUUGUUAUCUAAAACAAAAUGGCUUUCUUUUUCUUAAAAGAAAGGGAAAAAAUGAUCUAUGUUCUCAUUUGAUAAUUAAGUAUGCAAUUUGUCUAGAUUUGGUGCCUUUUAUAUGAAACAAUGGAUAUUGGAUUUUCACUUUUUAUAAUAUCUUUUCGCAAGCCAUACAACACCAAAUCAAACCCAUGUUUAACGAAGCAGCGACAUUUGAGAAAGUUUUGUUUAAAUGAUACCAUUAGAGAAGUAUUAAAUUAAACAUUCUUAAUAGUUUUCUUUUAAGGCAAAAUGAACAUCACUACAUUAUUUAAUGCCUACGCUACGACUUUUGUGGCUCACAAGCACUUUACAUAUUUCUCCUAGCCAAGUGCGCUACUGAAUGAACUUGAUAGCGAAAAAUAAAAGUGAGGCCACGCAAAUCCUAGUGCAUUUGUUUAUUAAGACAAUCUAAAACAUUUGAUAUACGUCGAAACAAGUGACAACGCACAAGUUGAAGUAAUUAACGAUCCUAAUGGAAACGAAAGUGCAACAAAUAGCUUUUAAAAACGUAUAUAUAGUGAUCUCUAAUUUGCUUUUUGUAUGACUAAAGUUAAAGGUGUUCACAUGUUCCAGGUUUAAGCCACAUAUAUAGAACAGUACAUAAGUACUAAGUAUAAAAUUGAUACAUUAUUAGGCUUAAAAGCAUAUCUAGACUAAGUCAUUCUUUUGACUUCUCACUUGAUGUACCUAAAAUGAACUGAUCAGUGUGUAGGGAUCAUAAGAUUGAGGUGAUAUUCUAACUAAUCACACCAUUAAUCACCACAUCGACGACUAAUAUACAAAUAAAAUAGGAGGUUAAUGGCUUGGAUUGUGCCGUUUUGGUACGCAUGGCAAAGCACUCUCUUUAACAAAAGCAACGAUUCACGACGCAAACUGAUAAACAUUACUAAGAAAGACUCAAAAUUAGUGCAAGAUAUAUGAAUUUGUAUAACUUGAAAAAAAUAUAGCAUAUUAUCAAACAGAUUAUCCACUUGAGCAUUUACCACAAAAUAUAAAGAUUUCGACGCAAUUUCUAAAUUGCAUUUACGUGAGUAGUACUUAGAGUCCAACUUGCGCUCCAUAUCGUGAUCCCAUGAUUCUUUGUUCUUGAAAUAAAAUAAAUCUAAAAAUAAUAAUAAUAAUAAUAAACAAAACCACAUUAAUUGUUCUAUCCAUUUUGUUUAUUCAUGUGUUUUAUGCGUGCAGUUUCAUGCGUAGAAUCUAAAACGUACUACAGAUUAAUUAUUUCUCCUUAAUUAUUUAUUAUUGACAAUAGUUUAGAGUGCGCGCCUAAGAUGCGAUCAUCAUAAUCUAAGUGACACAUCAUGGUAGUACACAAGGCACGUACACCACAUCCCAAUCAUAUUAAUUAGAAGGUUUGACCCUCAAAAUAAGGAAGAACAUGACAUAGUUAACAUCCUCCUAUGCUUGUUCCUUCUUAGAUUAGGAAGGAGAAAAAUCUAAGGAACUCGACCAAUAGGAAAUAGACAAGUGCCGAAAAGCGAAAAUAAAAUAACCAAAAAAGAAAUCCACAAGUUGAAAUAUUUUAAAUAGGCAAUUACCAGGUGUAUCUUACCUCGCGACGCCACGUGGAUAGUUUCGAUGGUACUAGAACUAAUGCCCAAGGGAAAAAACCAUUAAUGUAAUAAGAAUAAAAAUAAUGAUGCGCGCGUUUCAUAAUGGUACCAUAUACAGUUGAUAAGUUAAUUUUAUAUAUCUUUGAUAACUUAGUUUUAUAUACCUUUUCGCCUAGUUAUAUAUAUAUAUAUAUAUAUAUAUAUAUAUAUAUAUAUAGAGAGAGAGAGAGAGAGAGAGAGAGUUGGACUGUGCUAUUAUUAGUAGCAAAAUUUCAUUGUUGCUACCAGUUUUUUAGCCUUUGGAUCAACUCUUUUUAUUAUUUCUAACCAUUGGAUUAAAUACUAUAACCGAGUGGGGACCACUCAACCCUAGGGGAACCACUCAACUCUAACCGACUAAUAUCAUCCUGAUACUACAAUUUUUUAUCCAAGGGUUAAAAACUUGAUAGCAAAAAGUGUGUUUUACUAUUAAUAAUAUUCCGGCCUAAUUCUCUCUCUCUCUCUCUCUCUCUCUAUAUAUAUAUAUAUACUAAGUUGAGCUGAAAUACUAUAAAUAACAAACGGAUUUCGUUGCUAUCCAUUAAUUUUCGAUGAUAAAGUCUCCAAAUCGAUGAUCAGCACCGUCGAACAUGAUUUAUACUAUUUGAAAUAUCUUGAAAUCAAAUUUUAAAUCUUUCGACAUUAUUGACGUAAUAAUCAAAAGGAUACAAAAAAAUAUAAUUUUAAUAGUCAAUAUGAUGCAUUUUCUAAUUUAAUGGUGUAGAGAUAUCCAAAUUAAUUAAAUUUUAGUUAGAAAAUUUUUUAAACUAUUUAAACUAAGAUCUAUACUUUUGAUCUUGAUUACAAAAUUCCUAUCAUAAAUUUUUAAAGAAUAUUUAUUUUUAACUGUUCAUUUUUGUGUCGAUUUAAUAUCGAAAAAAUAUGAAAUUUAGUUUCUAGAUGCUUCGAGUAGUAUAGAUCAUAUUCAACGUUAUCGAUCGUCGAUUUGAAAGCUACAUCAUCAAAAAAAAUGAAUAACAAAAUUAAAGUCUGUUUGGUACUAAUAGCAUUCCAGCUUAUUUUACGUAUAAAGAAGGCCACUUCAUUUUUGGGCACUUUUUUGAGUUGCCCAUAGUAAACAAAUAAUAAAUGGGAGAUGAGUGAAUUUUAAAAAAAGGUAACACUUGCCCACUAAUGAUUGGCCACUUAAUUAAAAUUAGAAAAUCUAUUGACCUUCCUCUAUCUAUGGGACACGUGAGGGUUUACAAUGCUUUCCAAAAUUAGUAGCGUGGAAAGCAAAAACAUGUAAAAAAAAACUAAAAAUAGUACUAAUAAGUAUACACAAUUACGUGGUAGGAGAGAAUAUGAGAUUUAAUUAUGACUUUGUUGUUCCACAAAUGAUGACUCAGGUGAAGCAAUGCGUGAGGGGUGACAUUCGCAUGGAUUGAAUAAUCAAGGAUGUGUUUACUCUGAUUAACUUAUGCUUAGAUCACAUUUAUUAUUAAUUUCGCUUCGUAGAUCUAAGAAUCUUUCUAUUAGAAGAUAGUAGAAAGACAAAGACAGGCGGAUCUGAAGGCACCGAAUACUGAACUUAAUUUUUAAAACUAAGAACGCUUAAAAUUGAGUCUGAUAUCGUAUUAUGUAUAAGAUCAAUCAUUAGGAAGCGUAUAGUCAAAGUUUAUGUAUAUUUUUGACUUAACAUCUGCGUGUGAUCACUGAUCGAUUGAUUCUCUCCAAAAAUGUUUUUGAAUACGACAUUUGGCAAAUUAGUAAAAAAUUAAAAUGAAAUUUUAGGUUCAAACAACAUUAUUCUUGCUUUUCAAGAUAGAGUUACUUUAGCAAUACAUUUACGAAAGCUCGAUCUAGGAGGUCAAAUUAAUAAAACUUCCGGAAAAAUCAAAUUUUCCUGCGCAAAAGUUAGAGAUAUGAGAUUUGAAUUAGACUUUUUUUAUGCCAAAAAAAAAAACCACUUAAUUUUAAUGUCUUUUCAUGCGAAAACUUCGUACCAAUUUUUGGCCAAAAUUAGGUGAAUGUAUAGUACAUUGGUAGGUACAAUCAAAAUCGAAAUAAUACGAACGAAUCAUUGUAAUAGUAACUAGUUGUAGGCCAAGGGCUUCUAAGAAAAGCGCUUUCCAUUUUUUAAAAAAAAAUUAUUUUUAUUAAGUAUUCUUUUUAGAGAUAGGUAGCACGCUAUCCGCUUCGUUUAUUUUAUUAAAAAAUAAACUUAGUUGGAAAUGUGAAUCAACUAGAAUUCAAACUUGGGUCUCGGAUACCAACCACCAAGCCUUUUGCCACUUGCUCUGAGGACAAGUAGUUUUUUUUUAUUAAGUAUUACGAUUAUAAUUAGUAGUGCUCGUUAAACUUCACUUUCCUAAUGGAGGAACAAUCUAGUACAUGGUCAUACUACACUCGAUGAACGAGUGGAUCGAAAAGCACUUUUAAAUUCGAAGAGAAGUGCUUUUAAAAACUAAUCACACGGAACGUGAGAUGUUAUUAAAGAUGUUAUUAAAGUGAUAUUAAGAACUGCGGCCAAUGUAAGCGUUACACCUCGCCAUGAUCCCUAUAUGCUAUAGUGGCAACCUCUCUCUCUCUCUCUCUCUCUCUCUCUCUCUCUCUCUCUCUCUAUAUAUAUAUAUAUAUAUAUAUGUGUGUGUGUGUGUGUGUGUGUGUGUGUGUCAUUUUUCUAUUAUAUUAAAUAAAUAAAAUAAUGUGUCUUACUGAGACUCGAUAACUACAGCAUUAAAUAGUUAUAAAGUUUAAUGAGUAUAUAUAAUUGAGCAAUGCUUCAAUACUCCGUUGUAAUCUUAGCCGUUUAUUUUUAAUCAAUGAAGGAUUAAGAUUUAUGCAUAAAAAAAGAUGACCUGCUAUUGCACAAGAAGUACCGGUCACCAGGUAUGUGAUUUAGGAGUGUUUUUGGAAAAAAAAGAGCUAAUAUUAAAAAAUUAAAUAACUAAUAUUGGAAAGUUUUGCAUACUACCCUUAAAUCAUGGAGAGAAUAAAUUUUUAAUUAAAUUAUCCAUUUUUAAAGCCGAUUUUAAUAAUAAUUUAUGAUCGCAUUUGAGUCAUAAAUUUAGUAAUUUAUAAUUUAAAAUUAAUUUUCAAACAUCGAAACUUUAUGUUUAAAUAGUUAACAAAAUUUUUUUUUAAGUAUAAUAUAAAUUAAAUCUAAAUUUAUAAUUUAAAUUUGAUCAAUAUUUUUGAAAUUUAAUGUUGUUUUUCAAUAUUGAAUUAACAAUUUCAACUUACUUUAAAAUGUAGAAAUCUUUUAUUUAAAUAAAUAAUAAAAGUUUAUAAAUACACUAUAACUUAAAUUACAAUUUUAAAGAUAGUAACAUUAAUUUUUGAACUUUCAUGUUAGUUUAAUAUUGAAUUGAUAAUUUGAAUUGAAAUGUUUACUCGUUUAAAUAUAAAUUUUUCUUUCUAAAAUUUAAAUUUAAUUUAUACAAUUAUAAAUACAAAGUUUAAACUCAAGUUAAAUUUUGAAUUCGAAUUUAUGAAGAUUUAUCACUUAUGAAAUUAGCCAUUAUCUAAGUUGGUAAGUAACAAAAUUAAAUUAGGAAAUGAAGAUUUGUUGGAUAUUAUCAAAUUUGGUAAUUAGCUAAUGCAUACUUUCAAAUAUUAUCUUUAUGAUUGAUUGGUAACCUGUCCAGCAGGUUACCAUUGUGUAAAAGUCAAUCUUAACCUCAAAAAUUGAAUGGUCGGAUUUAAAUUGGCCGGUGUAUGAAAGUAUUUCUCUAUAUAAUUAAUGAAAAAUUUUUGUUUCAGUAGCAAAUAAUAUUCUCUUUUUUUUUAACUUUACAAUUAAUUAGCAGUUAAUUAGAAUUGAACGAACAACCUCUAGGAGUCUUCGCAUAAUAAAAAUAUUUGAAAUUAUAAAUAAAUCGCAAAAGAAAAAUUAUGAAUUUGAAGUUUCUGGCCGCCAAUUAUGAAUUAUUGAGAAAUAACUUUUUGUUUUAUUUCUUUUUAUUCUACACUUGAUUAAGCUUUUUAAAAUUAGUGUUUUGAUUAUUGGCUUAAUUUGGUAGGAAACUUUUCCAAUAAGUUGUCGGUGUUUGAAUUAAUUAAGUCCAAACUUUUAAUAAGAAUAACCACAUAAAUUAGGAGCCCGAGGGACCUACAAAGGAUCAAAAAGGAGACAAAUUGCACUGCCACGAAUCAAGAUGUGACUAGCUCGGAGUCCGACUUCGUCAACGCGGAGUUGGCUUGACUCUUUUCAAAUAUUAGAGCAUUUUUCAGGAGUUAAAUAUUUUUUUAUUUAAAUUUUAAUGCACCAUUAGUGAAAAUCAAUGGCCUCAAACACACUACGAAAAAAAAAGUUAUCAUUUUUUUUUUUUUUUGGAAAAAAAGUUAUCAUUCAAAAACAAAAUGCAGUGUUGGAGUUAAAAUUGCUAGCGAUAUAUAUAUAUAUAUAUGUAUAUAUAUACAUGUAUAGAGCUAGGCGGGUAUACUAUCGGUAGCACGGAGGCCUCUAUGCUACCGAGUUGUUCUCAAUGAUGCGGCUUCCAAAUCGACGAUCGGCUCCGUUAGACUUGAUUUACACUAUUAAAAGUAUUUGGAAACUAAAUUUCAUAAUUUUUCGACAUCAUUUAUGAGUAUUGGCUUUCUCAUACUCUUAAGUUUUCGGCCAUUGGAUUUAUUUCAUUGAUCAUUUUUAUCAGUUAGAUCAUACUAUUCAACCAACUACCCACUCAACCCUAAUGGACCACUAUCAUUAUAAGUCGGAACCACCAUCAUUCUAACCACACAUCCCAUCAAUCAACGGUUAAAAAUUUAUGAGUACAAGAGGAUCUAUACUCAUAAGAAUAUAGUAGCCCCAGCCUAUAUAUAUAUAUAUAUAUAUAUAUAUAUAAAAGAGAGAGAGAGAGAGAAAACUUGACUUCUAUAUUUUCGAAAGUGCGGAUGCCUCCGCACUUAUAAGUUGUUUUUGAUGAUAAGACAUUCGAUUUGACGAUUGGUUCCGUUAAAUAUAAUCUAUGUUAUUGGAACCGUAUAAAAACCAAAUUUCAUAAUUUUUUGACAUCAUUUACCAAUUGAUCACAGGGUCUCAAAAAUGACUAUUUUAACGGCGACAUAGCAUGUUUUUAAGUUCAAUUGUGUAGAAGUAUCUAAAUUCCAUGAAACUUUAAAUUCUACUAACAUCAAGAAUAAGAACAACACUUCCAAUUUAAAAUUUGAGUCUUUUAUCGCUAUUUUUAUGAGAUUUUUAUUUUCAACCGUUUAUUUUGAGACUAUUCGUUUACUUGGCAAAUAAAGUUCAAAAAUUAUGAAAUUUGUUUUCUAGAUAGUUCCAAUAGUAUAGAUCAUGUUUAACGAAGCCGAUUCCCAAAUCAAAUGUCUCACCAUCGAAAACAACUUACGAACUCGAAGCCUCCGUACUUUCGAAAAUAUAGAAGACAUAUAUAUAUAUAUAUAUAUAAUAUUAGAGAGAGACGGAGAGGAGAGAGAGAGAGAGAGAGAGACGAGAGAGAGAGAGAGAGAGAGAGAGAGAGAGAGAGAGAGAGGUUGAGCUAUGAUACUUUUACAAGUAUCACCAUCAUGGUGCUAUUAGGUUUAAGCCAUUGGAUCUACUUUUUGAUUAUUAAUAGCCUUUGGAAUUAAACACAUAUUCCACCUACCAUCACCUACCACCAUCAUCUCAACCUCACAUCUCUCCAUCCAAGGGCUAAAAACACACAAGUAUCACCCCCAUGAUACUUUUACAAGUAUUCUAGCCCUACUCUAUAUAUAUAUAUAUAUAUAUAUAUAUAUAUAUGGUCCACUAAUUAAAGUGGACUCUUCUAAUUUUUCUUAUUUUCAUGACGCAUAUAUAAUAAGUUAAAAUUUUACAUUAUAUUUAAUAGGUUAAUUUAUUAUACUUUUUAUAUUUACUGUGUAGGUGAAUGAGAGUACUAAAUAUAUUCAAAUUCUGAGCUGUAAUAUGAUAUUUUUAACAAAAUUAUUGCUCAUUAGAAAUUUGGCAAGAUAUUUUUUCCAAAGAAAGUAUUGCUCAUUAAAAAAUUGACACUUUUCGCUUUUACGUUCCACGUCGAUUGUUGAAAACUAGGGCUCCCCACAUUUUUACAAUUCCGUGUACACUUUGGAGCACAAAUGAAUCCAUCUUAGCAUUAUUAUCACUAUUUUUAUUAACAUUUAUAUUAUUUUUUUUAGAAGCAUCAUAUCACAAGGUCGUCUUAAUCUAUGCCCCAGCUAACCAAGAGCUGUAACCACAUUUCAAGUAAAAAGAAAAAUUAAGGAGAGAUGUAACCAUCGACAGCUAAACAAGUUAUAAAUUUCACGCAAAGUAUAUAAAGAAGAUUAAAAAAAACAAAGAAACAAAAUAGAAACACCAUAUAUGUAAGGGGAGAGAAAAAAUAAAUAGAAACAUAUCAUCACUUUAUGUUUCCUAAAUUUUUAAAACAACAAAUUUACCCCUUUAUUUUUCAGAUGUUGUUUGUUUAAUCCUCUGUGAUUGAUUAGUCCUCGGAUCGGAUUAAUUUUUGCUGGAGAUAAAAACUUGGGCUGUAGAAAAGUUAAGUACAAGGACAAGGAUAGUUUUGAUAAAUUUAUAGAGUAGAGGCUACUAUACUUUUAUAAGUGUAGAGCUUUUUGUACUUAUAAAUUAUUUGUAAUUAUGUGGUUUCCGAAUCAACGAUUCAUGCUGUUAAAUAUGAUUUAAAGUAUUUAAAAUUUUUAAAAAUUAAAUUUUGUAAUUUUUUAAAAUUAUAAUAAAAUUCAUCAAACCAGCAUAAAAUGAAUAGUCAAAAUUGUACGACAUCCUAAAAAUGGAUGAUUAAAUUCUUUAAUUUAAGAUCGGAGUUAUUGAACUUUAUUUAGAUAGUGAAUAGAAUUUUUUAUUAAAAAUUCAAUAAAUUUUGAUUCUUUUAUAUUGUUAAACUAGCUAAUAUCCUUAUCUUUUGACUAUAAGAUAAAUGAUGUCAAAAAAUUAUAAAAUUUGAUUUCUAAAAAUUUUAAAUAUUUUAAAUUAUGUUUAAUAGUAUGGAUGGUUGAUUCAGAAGUUUAAUCAUCAAAAACGAUUUAUAAAUAUUAUUGUGAUCGUACUCAUAAGAGUAUAUUUAUUAAGCGUGUCAAGUAGUCAAGGUGACACGUCACGGUCGGAGUGGUAACCAAGAUUUACAUUUCGAUAAAAAUUUAAACAAAAAUUUAAAUUAUAGGCUAUUUUGAUUUGACUAUCCGACCUUUCCAAUUUUGAUUUUUAGCGCUGAACUAUACAAUUUUUGUAAAUAUAAAUUUUUAAAAAUAAAAAAUUAGUUUAUAUUUUAAAGCUAAAAUACCAUUGACUAAUCAAAAUCAAAUAAAGUGAACAAUUGCAAAGUAAAAUCAAAUUUUGGAAGAUCGAAUAUUCAAUUCAAAAUGAUUUAUAUCUCGGAUAAAUUUUGCACAAAUUUAUCUUAUAUUUAUUAUUAUAGGAGUCCGACUACGAUACUAUUGAUAGCAUCAAACACUUAGUUCUAUCACAUUUUCUGUCGUUAGAUUAACUCCUUUAACCAUUUUUCUCUGUUAGAUCAUAUUAUUCAAUCAACCAACCACUCAACCCCAGGGGACUGCUAUCAUCUUAACUGUAUAUCGCUUCAUCUAAGGGCUAAAACUUUAAUCGCACCAAUGACUUAUGCUGUUAAUAGUUGUUAAUAUAGAUUGUAAUAAUGGAUGUGAGAAAAUAACUUGAAAAAUUAAAAUUGAUAUCAUAUGAAUGGUCGUGUCUCUUUGAUAAAUUACUUACGAAAACGUGCAAGCACACACCCGUGCGCUUACACGCUUUAAGCUCACUACAGGGAAGAUUGGGGGAGCAAUCUUCCCUGCCUAUUCUCCUUGGGGAAAGAUAGACCUUUUCAUUUAAUGCAAAGAGAUAUCUCUUUUAUGAAAGAAUAUGUUUUUUCAUUAUUUUUGAAAUAGCGUGUCCUUUUGUGAAAAAAUAUAAUUUUAAAAAUUAUGUCCUUUCAUCGUAACCAUUCACCUCCUAUGAAUAGGAGAUAUUUGAAAACUUGAAGGAUAACACAAUUAAUCUUUCUUCUUUCUAAUUUUUUUAUAUUGAUUAUUAAGAGAGAAGUUUUUAAGGAAAAGUCUUCAAAAAUGAUGUUUGCAGUCUUUCGACGGUUUUGUUGUAUGCUGAAGGUGAUUUACUGGUAACCCGACAGCAUACAUUCGAGUGGGGACAAAUAUCACCUUAAAAUUAUUGAGGAAUAUGAAUGGAGAUCAAAUAAAUUAUGGUUUUGAGGCGUGUAAGUCAUCUCUUUGAUAAAUUAGUUAUGACAAGAUACGCCUUUUCAUUUGACGCAAAGAGAUAUAUCUUUUUACAAAGAGACGCGUUUCUUUACGAAAAGGUGAACCUUUUAUGAAAAAUUAUGUCUUUUCACUAUUUUUCAAAGGACGUGUCCUUUUGUAAAAAAAUAUAACUUUAAAAGUUAUGUGCUUUUAUCAUAACCAUGUACCUCCUAUAAAUAAGAGAUAUUUGAAGGCUUUAAGGGUACGUAAUACAAUUAAUCUUUCUUUUUCCUAAUUUUUUUAUAUUGAUUCUUAAUAGUAAAAUUCUUAAGAGAAAGUUUUCAAAAGUGUUGUUUGCAGUCUUUCGACGAUCUUGUUAUAUUCUGAAGGUGAUUUGCUGGUAAUCUGACAGCAUACAUUCGAGCGAAAAUAAAUAUUAACUUAAAGAAAAUAAACUUAUAUAUUUUAAGAUCAUGAUUUACUUAAUUUUUAUUCAAUAAACUUAUAUAUUUUAAGAUCAUGAUUUACUUAAUUUUUAUUCAUAUUCUCCAAUAAUAAUAUUUUAGCCUGGUUCUAUUAUAGAUAGACAUACUGAUAGCAUUUUUCGUCCAAAAACCAUGAAAAGGGUGAGGGCCUAAAAACCUACCCUACCCGCGUGGCGGCGUGUGGAGUCGUAAGCAGUGACACAUCACGGUCGGAGGGGUAGUGGACAACACUCGGAAUGUGUUCGAACCAUCUCGAGGCACCAGAGCACAACACGCCCAUCACUGCCACAUAAGUCCACGCCACUUAGCUGGUCAACAACCGUACUACAAGAAAUCAUAUGUUACUGACGUACGAUGCUUAACGCAGUUGGUUGAUAUUUUAAACCAUUAAUUAAUAAUAAUUAAUAAAUCGAAUAUUCAUAAUUGAUAAAAAUUUUGAUAAUUGGUAAUUAAGAUUUUGAGUUCGUAACCGAUCGUUGCUAGCGCAAGUGGCAAAUAACUUAAUGGUGGAUAUUCAAAGUCUCAAAUUUAAAAUCUAGUUGCUUUACAUUUUUCGCUAAAUUUAUUUUUUAAAAAUUAAACAAAAUAGAUAAUAUGCUAUUUUUCUCUCUCAAAGAAAAAGAUUUUAAGCUCAAUGUAUAAUUAUUUCAUAUAUUUUUUGCUAAAUUUAGGUAAAUUGCAAGUUUUGGUUCUCAAAUUAUGUGAGGAGCGACAAUUUAGCCUUUAACUUUUAAUUUACUAUAAUUACAUACUUGAAUUUUAGAAUUAUUGCAAUCAAAAUUCACAAUCCAAUUAGCCAACAUUAAUGAGAAAUGGCGUGGCCGUUUUGUUAUUAAUGAUUCCCCAAUAAUUAAUAUCCUGUAUUAUUUUUAUAUUAGUGAUGCAGUAAUAUUUAAUCAACCAAAUUGAAUUAUAAAAUUUGAUUAUAAUAAUUCAAAAGUCAAAACAAAAAUUAUAGCAAUUUUUAAGAAAUAAAUGAAAUGUAUAACAUACUAUCUUUCUCGAGGGCUUAUGGGCUUGUAUAUUAUUAGUAUCAAUGUGUUUAAUGAAUUAAUAUUUAGUUUUACUUGAUUGCUUUAUUAAAUGAUCUUUCCUGGACUAUAAAGACAUGCCUUAAAUUAAAUUAGAGUACACAAAAGUGUAAGAAUUUAUGGACUGCAGAAUCGUAUUUUGCUCAUUUGUGAUUUAUAAUAUAUAGCACUUUAUUAUCAUGCUUAUUAGUAUUUCUAAAAUAAAAUAAACACUACCCUACUGAUGUUUAUUAUGACUUCUCUUUUUAUGAAUAAAAAUUCUAAUCUCUAGAAAAGUUAGAUUCAUUUAAAAUCAUGUUUUCUCACAUUACACUCACUAAGUUUUCUUUUGCUGUUAUUUUUUCACUGGAAUGAUAAUCACACUAAGACUAAUAUUUUCUCACUAAUCUAAUCAUUUUUUUAUUACUUGAAGUUCUAAAAAAUAUUUUUUAAAUAGAUGAGCAUAAGAUUUAUAAUUUACACAGUGUACAAAUCAUAUUUUUCUAAUUUUUUUUAUGAUAUGAUAUAAAGAGUCCAUCUUAGAUGCUUAUGAUAGCAUAUGAAUAUAUAUGUUAUGGAUUUUUGAACUCUCCAGCUAAAUAAUAAAUUCUAUAUAUUUAUUUAAGGAUUUGAAAGUUAGUAAUAUAUACUAUUUAAAAGUUAGUAAUAUAUUAAGGAUUUGAAAGUUAGUAAUAUAUACUUGAGAAAAUAUACAAAUUAUUUUUUUUCAUAUUAUAAUACUAUAUUUUAUAUAAUUAUUUUGUAUUUUGAACUACUAGACAUAUUUUUGUAUCAAAUUAUAAAUAAUGUUCUAUACAAAUUAAACUAUUGAUCGUAUGGUGUUGAGAAUUUCAAACGGCUCGUUUAGGNCUUUCUCUUUUUCUGUUUCUCACCCUAAGUGGCCAAGCCAGAAGCUCUCCAAGUUACCAACUAACAGCAUAUGCCCGCCGUUGACUACCUUGCUAUUAAUUGUAUGCUUGAGAAAAUAUACAGAAUAUUUUUAAAGUAAAAAAUUAUUAUUCAUAUAAAAUUUUAAUUUUAGUUAUAUAUGAUUGGAUAGUUUAAUCCAAUAUUUAUCUAUAUAAUUUAUUUAUUUUUGACUGCAUAAAUGAAAAUAAAUAAUAUGGAGAUUGAAGGCGGAAAAAAAAAACAUGUCAUGCUGAAAAGAUUAGAUAUUCAACUCAUAAAUUUUUUUUCUUCAUAUUAUAAUACUAUAUUUUAUAUAAUUAUUUUGUACUUUGAACUACUAGACAUAUUUUUGUAUCAAAUUAUAGAUAAUGCUCUAUACAAAUUAAACUAUUGAUCUUAUGGUGUUGAGAAUUUCAAACGGCUCGUUUAGGACUCGAGCUCGCUUGACUCGAAAUUAGGCUCGCUAAUUUCAAUUCAAGCUUGAGCUUAAAUUUAGACUCGAAAUUAAUUUUAAACCGAAUUUGAGCCGAAAUAAGCUGGUUCGAGCUCGGCUCGUUUCCGCUCCUACCUAUUCCGCCACGUGUGCUUCUCCAAGAUGGCGAGGUGGACUACCCCAUUCAAACCGCCCCACUCUCUCUCUCUCUCUCUCUCUCCCCACUUCCGCACCCUAUAAAUUCCCGCUCCUCCCCCACACCAUUCCCCUUCAAGGCUUCAACUCAGAAGCGCUUCUCCCAACAGCAGCUGCUCCUUCCACUACCCGACAAAACCAAAUUCAACACAAGGAGGAGGAGGAGUAAAUUUGCUCCCACCAACCCCCUUCCCCUCUCACUCUCUCUCUCUCUCUCUAGCGCCCUUUUCCACUUCCACUCCUUUUUAAAUAAAUCAAUCAUACAUAGUCACUGCAAGUAACUAUAGGGAAAAGAAUAAAGAUAUCUAUGGCUACUGCUGUUUCCAACAGCGCCAUUUCACCACCAACUACCAAANGGCGCUUCUCCCAACAGCAGCUGCUCCUUCCACUACCCGACAAAACCAAAUUCAACACAAGGAGGAGUAAAUUUGCUCCCACCAACCCCCUACCCCUCUCACUCUCUCUCUCUCUCUCUCUCUAGCGCCCUUUUCCACUUCGACUCCUUUUCAAAUAAAUCAAUCAUACAUAGUCACUGCAAGUAACUAUAGGGAAAAGAAUAAGGAUAUCUAUGGCUACUGCUGUUUCCAACAGCGCCAUUUCACCACCAAGUACCAAAACUCGCAAAUCGAAUAUUCUCCUCCUCCUCGGCCCCAGCCGGCCCAAUUCCGUCCAAUUUCCAAAGAAUUCGCUCAGUCGUGCGGCUGCGGCCGUCCGCUGCUCUGCCUCCUCUCGCUCCCUCGUUUCCGCCGCCAACACCGAUACCGAUACCGAUACCGAUACGGCGAGUGGCGCUUACUAUCCCCCUUCUUCUUCUUCUUCUUACGUCGACGCCGAUGAAGAGUCGUCAGCGCCAAUCUUGACGAACAGAAGCAAUGACAAUCUCGACGAGUGCAGAGGUCGCAGGUUCCAUCCCCCAAAAUGGAACGCGCUGCAGCGGGCUGCGGCCGCCGCAUUGGACGCGGCGGAGGGGGCGCUGAUCUCCGGGCUGCUGGAGCGGCCGCGCCCGCUGCCGAAGACGGCCGACCCGGCGGUGCAGAUUUGCGGGAACUUCGCGCCGGUGGGGGAGCAGCCGCCGCGCCGCGACCUGCCGGUGGCGGGGCGCAUCCCGCCCUUCCUGAACGGCGUCUACGCGCGCAACGGCGCGAACCCGCUGCUCCCGCCGGCGGCGGGGCACCACCUCUUCGACGGCGACGGCAUGGUCCACGCCGUGCGCCUCCGCCACGGCGCCGCCGCGUCCUACGCGUGCCGCCACACCGAGACCGCGCGGCUCGCGCAGGAGCAGGCGGCCGGGCGCCCGCUGUUCCCGAAAGCCAUCGGCGAGCUGCACGGCCACUCCGGCCUCGCCCGCCUCCUCCUCUUCCGCGCGCGCGCCCUGCUCGGCCUCGUCGACCCCUCCCGCGGCUGCGGCGUCGCCAACGCCGGGCUCGCCUUCUUCGACUCCCGCCUCCUCGCCAUGUCCGAGGACGACCUCCCCUACCACGUCCGAAUCACCGCCGCCGGCGAUCUCGAGACCGUCGGGAGGUACGACUUCUCCGGGCAGCUCAGCUCCCCCAUGAUCGCCCACCCCAAGCUCGACCCCGUCUCCGGCGAGCUCUUCGCCCUCAGCUACAGCAUCCUCGCCGAGCCCUACCUCAAGUACUUCCGCUUCUCCCCCGACGGGGUCAAGUCCCCCGACGUCGACAUCCCCCUCGACCAGCCCACCAUGAUGCACGACUUCGCCAUCACGCACAACUUCAUCGUCGUGCCCGACCAGCAGGUCGUGUUCCGCCUCCCGGAGAUGAUCCGUGGCGGAUCGCCGGUCGUCUACGACCGCUCCAAAACCCCGCGGUUCGGCGUCCUGCCCAAGCACGCCGCCGACGCCUCGCAGAUGCGGUGGGUCGACGUGCCGGACUGCUUCUGCUUCCAUCUGUGGAACGCGUGGGAGGAGCCGGCGGCCGGCGAGGUGGUGGUGAUCGGCUCCUGCAUGACGCCGCCCGACGCCGUGUUCAACGACUCCGGGGAGAGCCUGAAAAGCGCGCUGACGGAAAUUCGGCUGAAUCUACGCACGGGAAAGUCCAGCCGCCGGCACAUCCAGAGCCCCCAGGACCAGAUGAACCUGGAGGCCGGAAUGGUCAACAAGCACCGCCUCGGCAGAAAGACCCGGUUCGCCUACCUGGCCAUCGCCGAGCCCUGGCCCAAGGUGUCCGGCUUCGCCAAGGUCGACCUGCUCACCGGAAAGACCGUCAACUAUCUCUACGGAGAGGGGCGCUUCGGCGGGGAGCCCUGCUUCGUGCCCAGGGACGCCGCCGCCCCGCGGGAGGACGACGGCUACGUGCUGUCCUUCGUGCACGACGAGCGCGCCGGCGUGUCCGAGCUCGUCAUCGUCAAUGCUGCCGACAUGCGGCUCGAGGCCACCGUCAAGCUCCCGUCGCGCGUCCCCUACGGGUUCCACGGCACAUUCAUCGACGCCAAGGACUUGGCGUCGCAGGCCUAAUAAGCCAGCCUCGCCAUAGACAGAGCUAAUUUUAUUAUUGACAGUCAGACAGGUAGACAGAUUUACUAAAUCUAGUCUCUAUCCACUCGGCUGGUUUUAUAAGAUUUAGUAUAUCUGAUCUGUCUAUGGCUCAGUCAAUACCGCUGUUUAUUCCGACCUACGACCUUUUUGCAGGGCAGGGUACACCAAUAGGGGGCCUCCCCUGUUUCUUGGUUUCAGUUGGAUUUUUCCGUUUCUUUUUUUGCAUUUUACCCCUUGCUAUUUGGGGUUUUUACAAUUAUAGCAGUCAUAUGGUUUUGUCUUUUGCUUUUCUUUUUCUUUUUUUUUUUUUUUUUUUUUGUAUUUCAGGAGACGAGUUUGAUACGGACCAUGAUAGAUGGUUUUUGUAUUUACAUUUAUUUUUCCAUCUAUCGUUGGCUUUCUUCUUCUUCUUUUAUUUUCCUUUUUUUUUUUUUGUUUUCUGUGUCGUGUGUAAUGAAGUGUAGGGGGCCCAUCCCCGAAGCUUCUCUUUUUUCUUCUGAUACUACUCAGAAUAACAAGUUACUAUUAUUAUUUUACAUUACAUAAUUCUUAUGUAUGAUGGUGCCCAUUUUUUCCUCUUCUUUUCUAAGUUCGUGUGAAGUGCUUCCUCUCCAACACCUAAACAGAGUGAAUAGAGUUUGGGCUUCUGUGAAGGACUUGAAACAUUUUAUUGUUUUUCCUAAUAAUCAAAUAUCCUAGUUGAUUCACAUUUCUAGCUAAAUUUAUUUCUAAAUAAAAUAAACAAAACGGGUAGCAUGCUACCUAUCUCUCUCAAAAAAAAUAAUCAAAUAUUCCAAGAAUCCAUGGUAAAUUGUUCAAAAGGGAAUAUAUUUGAUCACUGAACUCAAAUAAGUAAGCACUUGAAGAGGCAACUAAUAAACAGGGCAAAGUGAUAAUAUCAAAUUACUACACAAACUAAUUAAGUGCACCAAUGAAGAUUGCGAUGUAGGCACCAGCAUGUUCUUCUUUGGGAGUUCGAGACCCAUGUGGGUAAGAUGAUUAUAUCAUAUCCUUUUACCCUCUUAUAAUUGUUCGAAGUGAGACAAUUCGUGUAUUAUGGGAUUAUUCAUAUAUGAACUCUUAUCCUUUUUCUCUUUUUCUAUGUGAAUCAUUCAACUCUUCUCUCUUUUCUCGUAUGUUACUCUCUUACCAAUGCAGUGAAUCACUUUUCGGCUCUUCUUCAUAAUUUACUACGAACUCACUCUUCUGAGACUUUGCACUUUAACCCACACCACUAGAAAAUUUUAUGAGUCCAUGCAUCUAAUCUUGUGCCUCUCGGGCCCGACUAUGGGCUUUAACUUAUGCUACCCAAAAAAAAAAAUAAAUAAAUAAAUCAUAGCCUGUGCGCCAAACCGUCGUAACUCAAUCAUGUUCAUAAGAGCUACUAACUUGAUUGCACUACACAAUUUAGACAAAUAGCCUAGAAUCAUCAAAUUAUCGGCUUUAAUAAUACUGGUUAGCCAGUCCUGAAUCCAGCCAAAUCCACAUGAGUGCAAAAAUAUGAUAUAUACAAUGGAGCUCAUUCAAUUUAAAAACUUAAGCUUAUUGGAUCUGAGCUCACCAGUGUGUAUCAACUAUUUUACUUGCUUAUAAUUAUCUGAUAUAGGACUAUUUAUACUUUUGCACUUAUUACAAACAUUUAUACUUGUAAGCUUACUAUGUUGAGAUUGUCCCACACUUUACACAGUGACAUGGCUUUAUAAAGUAACAAUUCCAUUAGUAAACCUUUGGGAUUUGAGAAUAUUUGAAAGAAUUUGUGAAAAUUAAGAAGGAUAUUUUGGUCAACUAGGAGUAUAUUAGAUAUUUGUGAAUUUUUAAAGGGUAUAAUAUAUAUUAUCCUCUCUUUUUUUCUAUUGUGUCUUGUUAUUACAGAUUUAUUGCCCCUUGAAGUUAUGUUGUUUACUGGUUGAGGCUUCUCCUCUUGGCCUCAAGUUGCUGAAAAACAUUGUAAGAGUCAAUUAACAACUUAAGGAUUUGAUUUUUGCGAAUGUGCGAAAAGUUUACGAGGUGUUAACGCAUCACAUAUUUGGCUGCAAUACGACAGUGGGCCUGUUUAGCUCCGCUUUUGCAGCAUCACGACACGAGUUUAACACUAGGUUGAUGUAAACGGCUAUGACAGCCCGCAAUUGCGAAAAACGUACCGUCCUGCAGGAGCAUCUCAGUCGAUGCUUGUGGGCACAGCACUGCAGGGUGUUCCGCAAAUGAAGUGCACUCUAAAUGGAAGAAAAGGACAUGUCUCACUUCACUACGAAGUGGAGCCACGUGAAAUCGCGGCUUUCGGGAUGCCAAAGUUCAAUCGAAACUAAGGACUUCAACUAGUGGAAGUCGAAGCAUGGAAGCGAGACGCAUUUUAGCCCCAUCAUCACAAAAUCGUCACGAUCGAACUAACACAACUUGCAAAUUGUUGUCCCCCAACUUGUUCGACGGGAACAAACAAGCCAUCACAUAAGAGCGCUCUUCUGACGUCAAACUGCCAUCCAACUAAUAUCCAGUCAAUCAGUAUUCUAUUUUAUUAGCAACACAAUGUAACUUGAUUCUAUCCGUAAACACGUUCACCGGUCCUUUUUCGAGCACCCAAAAAGGCACUCCUGGGUUAGUGCAAACACAUAUAGCAUCCAUUAACAUAGCUUCAAGGGACCAAGGCACAAUAUAAUAAUUAAUAAAUAAGAUAUUAUCCACUGUGCUCUACAUAUCUAUUGAAAUGAAGGUCAACUUCCCACACUAAUUUUCCUUUUCUUCAACUAUUAACUAAGCAUCAUGGCCAAACACUACUUGUGAGCCCUUUCACUCAUCAUUUUGACUUUUGCUGAAGAUGAAUUGCAGUUCCAUUCACUUCCCUACUUGCAUUAUUCAAUCCACAUCAAGCUUGCCAAGUUGGGAAAAUGCAGGUCUAUUCUCGGAAAAUGCGAAGUCGACUCAAAGGUAACAUCAAUUUGAUGCAUCUUAGUUAGACCUAUUGGAACACAGCUUACAUCGUAACUCAUUUUCGUGUUUGAAAUUUUAGAAAGUAAAUUAACCGGCGAGUAAUUGCGAUAUGUAUAAAACUGACAUAUUACAACAUUUAGGAUACGAAACCUUAUCCGUGUCGAAAAUUAUAUACUAUUUUUGAGAAUGUACUUACAGGUUAUAACCUUAUACGAUCAUGCAGGUGCAUGUAGAGUAAUUUUUAUGAUAAAGUGUAACGAUUGCUAGUACUAAUGACUUGUUAGACUCAAACUAUUGGUCCUAAAUACUUAAAUUCAGUUAUUAUUAAUAAAAUAAUGAGUUUUUACAUGUUUGUAGUCAUCAAAUCAAAUUUUCUAGCCAUUCCUUAAGCUAAAAUUAUCAGAAAAUAUAGGAUUCACUUUACAAUUUUGACUGACAAACCGAUUUUAAAUUUCAAAUUUAAUGAUCUAACUCAUUUUACACUAAAAACUAUUGGGCCUAAACAACCAGCCCGAAAACCUUAAGCCCAAUUUUGCUAAUAAAGUUUCUUAUCCUCGUAUAUCCAAUCAAAAUUUCUUUUUCACCCGAUAUAAAAAUAUAGGAAACAAGGUAAUAAAUUUUGGGUGUGCAUAUGAGUCCUACCAAAAAGAGUUGUUCAAGAGAAUAUUUGGAUAUAUACAUUGGAACUUUGCAUAAAGUUUUUCCCAAAAAAAUACUUUGCCUUAAAUUAAGAUAAAUUAGUACUUAGCUGCAAGACAACAGGUAAUAAAUGGGUAAAGCAUAGUUAAAAAAAGAAAAAUAAAACCAAGAAAUCCAUUUGGCCAUUCCUUUAAAAGAAAAAAAAAUAUUAUAUUUUAUAUAAUUUUAUGCGCAGAAUUUUUAUGUACACAAAUUAUUGAACUGCUCAUUAGGGGUGGAAACGAGCCGAGCUCGAGCGAGCUUACCUCGGCUCAAAUUCGGCUUGAAAUUUAUUUCGAGCUUAAAUUUAAGCUCAAGCUUGGAUUGAAAUUAAUUCGAGCCGAGCUCGAGCGAGUCUAAUUUCGAAUCGAGCGAGCUCGAGCCCUAAACGAGCCGCUUGAAAUUCUCAACAUCAUACGAUCAAUAGUUUAAUUUGUAUAGAACAUUAUCUAUAAUUUGAUACAAAAAUAUGUCUAAUAGUUAUAAGCACAAAAUAAUUAUAUAAAAUAUAGUAUUAUAAUAUGAAAAUAAUAAUUUAUGAGUUAAAUAUCUAAUCUUUUCAGCCUCACAUGUCUUUUCUUCCGCCUUCAAUCUCCAUAUUAUUCAUUUUCAUUUAUGCAGUCAAAAAUAAAUAAAUUAUAUAGAUAAAUAUUGGAUUAAACCUCAACAUAUAUAAACAAAAUUUAAAAUUUUAUACUAGAUAAUAUAUUUUUUUAGCUUAAAUAUUCUAUAAUAUUUCUCAAGCAUACAAUUAAUAGCAAGGUAGCCAACGGGCAAAUAUAUGCUGUUACUUGGUAACUUUGAGGGCUUUUGGCUGGCCGCUUAGGGUGAGAGACAGGAAAAAGAGAAAGAGAGAAAGCAAAUUGAAAAUUUAGGGUUCUGUGAAAGAAAGAAAGAAAAAUUUAUAAAUUUAGUGAAAUUUAGCUCUUAUUUGUCUAUUGCUUUUUUUUAUGCGGCAAAGUAACUAAACUCAGAACUUAUUCCUCAGCUAUAUAUAUUAAAUAUAUUAUAUUUACUAUAUUUUUAAUAUAUAUAUAUAUUUAAUAUACUUAUAUAUUAUAUAUUAUAAUAUAUAGUGUAAACUACUAUGUAUUUUAAAAUAUAGAGGAUUUGAGUUUAAUUUUGACCUCUUGAAUUAAGAAUUGUAAUGAUUGGGAUGAUUGCGAUUCCCCCAGAUUAAUAAUAUCCCUAGUAUUAUAUUCAAAAAAUUAGUAUAAAGGGCAUUGAUCUAAGAAUCAAAAAAUGAAAACACCAUAUCCUCUAUACUUUCGAUAGCCAAUAUAGAUAGCAUAUUACUAUAUAUAUAUAGUAUAUAUAUAUAAUAUAUAUAGUAAUAUAUAUAUAUUAAUAUCAAUGAUAUUGAGUAUUUUCGAGCUUUUCGAGCCUAAUUCGAACGAGCCGAGUAAUACUCAAGUUCGGCUUGAAAUGAAUUUCGAGCCUUUUUUUUGUUCAAGCUCGGCUCAUUUAGUUUCGAGUCGAGCUCGAGCGAGCCAAAUAUCGAGUCGAACGCGAGUCGAACGCGAGCCGGCUCGCUCAUUUGCCAGCCCUACUGCUCAUAGCAGUAUCAAUUCGAACCGUCCAUAUUGAGUUAUCUAAAUUUAUUCUGUUACGGAUGAAUACUGAAAUGAGUCAUGUGGAGAGCCUAGAAUUAUAUAUUAAUAUCAAAGAAAAUAAAAUAAAUAAAUUAUAAGCUUAAAUCCAUAUUGUGGACCACGUAACAGUAAUAUGGACAUGAGAGCCCAAAAUUUAAGGUAGAAUUUAUUGAAGCAGAAGAUCUUGUGGGCCAUGUGUCACGUGGACACGUGGAGCCCACGGUCCCUUUCACAUUGGUGCACGAGCACCAAAAAUUAAUGCGGUGAACUUUAAAUAUCGUGCUAGGCAAAACAAUGUAAGUGUUUGGAAAAUUUCGUGAAUAGCCUUGAUUCUCAUUGGAUUAGUGAAUUAUCUCGUCCAAUGGGACGAGAUUCUUAUCCUUGUAGAGCAUUUUUACUUAGAUAAAUAUAGCACAAAUAUUUAUGGGGCCAAAGAGAAAAAGACCUCAAAUUUUUUUAAUUUAAGAAAUAGGUAACAUGCUAUCCGGUUUAUUUAUUUCUUUUAUAAAUAAACUUAACUGAAAAUGUGAAUCAAUUAGGAUUCGAACUUAGGACCUCAGGUACCAACCAAGCCCUUUGCCGCUUGCGUUAGGAACGGUCGGUAAAAAGUCCUCAAAUAUUGGAUCAUAUAAUAUAUAUAUAUAUAUAUAUAUAUAUAUAGUUGAGCUAGAAUACUAUCGGUAGCAAACGGGCUCCGUUACCACCCAUUUGUUUUCGAUGAUGGAGCCUCCAAAUCGAUGAUCGGAAUGUUGAAUAUGAUCUAUACCACUUGAAGUAUUUAGAAAUCAAAUUUCAUGCUUUUUUGAUAUUGUUCUCUUGUCCAUCAAGUGAGCGUUAAAAUGAACGGCUGAAAAUAAAUAUCCUCUGAAAAGUGAUGAUAGGAAUUUUGUAAUUAAGAUCGAAAGUAUAGAUCAUAUUCUAAAUAGUUUAAAGAAUUUUCUAACCAAAAUUCUAUUGAUUUGGAUAACUUUACACCGUUAAACGAGAAAACGCCUUAUAUCUACCAUUAAAAUUAUAAAUUUAAAACCCUUUGAUCAUUAGGCCAAUGAUAUCGAAAUGAUUUGAAAUUUGGUUUCUACAUACUUCAAGUGGUAUAGAUCAUGUUCAACAGUGCCGAUCGUCAAUUUAAAAGCUCCAUCAUAAAAAACAAAUGGGUGGCAACGGAGCUAGAUUGCUACCGAUAGCAUUCCAGCUCAACUCUCUCUCUCUCUCUCUCUAUAUAUAUAUAUAUAUAGAGAGAGAGAGAGAGAGAGAGAGAGAGAGAGAGAGAGAGAGAGAGAGAGUAGAGCUAUUAUGCUAUCGGAAGCAUAGAGGAUCUGGUGCUUUCGGAUUUUUAGGUCUUAGAUCAAUCCCUUUCGUCAUUUCUAACUUUUAGAUUAAUACUAUUACCCUGUGGGGACCACUCAAUUCUAAGAGUACUAUUUAACCCUAGGGGAGACCGUAAUCAUUCCAACCGUCUAAUUUUUAAUCUAAGGGUCAAAAAGUCGAAAAUAUCAAAUUUUCUAUACUUUCAAUAGCACGGUAGCUCCACACUAUAUAUAUAUAAAGUAUUUUAUUAGUUUCUUAAUUUGCGCCUAUUAUAAUUAUCAUUUUGCUCAUGAAUUGCAUCACUUUAAUAAAGAUCUCUCUUUCUUCUCUUUUUUUUGAGAGAGAGAUAGGUAGCACGUUACCUGCUUCGUUUAUUUCAUUAAGAAAUAAACUUAGUUGGAAAUGUGAAUCAACUAGAAUUCGAACUUGUGAUCUCGGAUAUCAACCACCACCCUUUUUGCCACUUACUCUAGGAACGGUCAGUAAUAAAAAUCUCUCUUAUCAACAAGUUAGUUAGAACUUAGAAGUAAUAGAAUAUACAAGUUGGCAUAAUCCAUUUAGGGCCUGUUUGUUUGUCUGGAACUAUGACUGUGGCGAAGUCUCCAGUUUUCAGAGUCGCUUCAAUCUGCUGAACCUGAGUCCCAAACUUUCAGAACCAUGCAGGUGAAGUGUCGCUUCGAUAAGUUCCAAACACAAACAAAGCUCAAAUUACCAGAAAAAUGGUUCUUUUAUAAAUCUAUAUUUUUUAAAAUUUUCCUAAUGUGCUGAAGGAUCUUGACAGUUAGCAGAAUAUGUUAACUGAAAUAAAUGGAAAAAAAAAUUAAAUAAGACCAAGAAUGUCUUGAAAAGGAAAAUUGAAAAAAAAGAAAUAAAAAAAGAACUUAAUUAGGCUUUUAGCAUUGAUACAGUAUGAAGUAAUCAUUUUCCUCUAAAACUCCUAUUGAACCAUGUAAUGGUUUUCUAUUUUUUUUAAGUAAAAUUUCGUAAGCAUUUUCAUGAGAAGAAAAAUAACAAUUGACGGCCCCAAAUUAUGAUUCCAUCAGACAAAUUUUUCGAUUUGACUAGCAUUCUCCGUUGUAUCCUUGCCUACCAUUAUAUUUCACUCUUCACAAAUCUUAAAGCGCUGUGGCGUAAAUUCAAUAGUAGAACGAGAAGCGUCUUCAAAGGUCGAUCUUAUGUAAACUUUCUCUAUCCCAAUACAUAAAAAAAUAACAAAAAACAAAAAAACAAAAAAAAAAAAAUAGUAGAAUACAUAUCUUAUAAGACAAAAUGGGAAUGAUUCCGUCCAACAAAUUUUUCUAUUUGACUAGCCUUUCCCGUUGUAUAUGUCCUUACACAUAUCUUUCCCUUUGCGUGCUCUGUAGAGUAAAAUUCGAAAGUAUGUUGGAAAAUAUUCUAUUUGUUUUCGUACGUAAUAUUGCAUUCCGCGUCGGUUAUGAUAAAUUUUCUGCGAUCCCAUUGGAGAAUGCAGAAGCAUAUCCCUAUAUAUUUUUUUCUCAACUUCAUUUUAUUUAAUAAUAUUAGAUAAAUCUCAAUACCAAACUAAGCCUUAAAAGAUUGAUCUUAUAUAAUCUUACUCUAUCCCGAUGGCCGAUACUGAGGGGAAAAAAAAACAAAAAUUAGUAUUGUAUAAGACAAACUGGGUAUGGACACUCCUAGCCAAUCAUAAACAAAGAUUGAGUGCUAUGGGAACAUGCAUGCAUGCUACUUAGCCGGAAAAGAGGAAUCAUUGGAUUUGGUCUAACUCUUUUUGUGUCCAAGUUCAACUAUUGCUCGGAGUUGAUUUUGUGCGAGUCCCAAAGUCCCACCGCCGCGUAGUCGAAAGUUUAAAAUGCAAGGGAAAAGAAUAAAACACGAGUACUCUUUCGUUCUCGGAGGAGUUAAGAGAAUUUAUUAAAGCAUGCAUAAACACAAAAUCUAUUAUUAUUAUUAUUAUUAUUGUUGUUGUUGUCGUCGUCGUUGUUUUGAAGCUACUAAUAGGUUACAGAGUAGAGUUACUACGCUAUCGAAAGUAUAGUAAAUUUGAUAUUUUCGACUUUUUAAUCCUUAAAUCAACCUCUUUGAUCAUUUCUAAUUUUUGAAUUAAUACUAUUAUUUUGUGAGGACCAUUCAACCGUAAGGAUACUACUUAAUUCUAGAAUAGACCGCAAUCAUUCUAAUCGUACAAUUCUUAAUCUUAGAAUCAAAAAGUCGAAAAUAUCAAACCCUCUGUAUUUCUGAUAGCAUAGUAAUUCUACACUAGGUUACCCGCAUGUACUCUUAGAUAGGUAGUAAAACUCUUUAUUAGCAGCUCUAAUGUAAAAUUUAAUUAAAUUAACUAUACAUUGACUGAUAUUGAUCGAUCCGAUAAUUUAAAUAUUCGUCCUUUUUUUUUCCAACUAGAAUUGAUGAUUAAUUAUGAAUUGGACCAAGAAAAUAGGUAUUCAUGGAGAAUACAAUUAAAGCUUUGUGUCGUCAUUAACUCUCAAUAACCAUAUUUUUGUACUAACUAGCUUUCACUGUGUAGCUCUAAUCAAAUAAAAUAGAAAUUACACAAAAUAUCAAAUCCUUAAUAAAAAUUUCACCCUGGGCAUAUUUGUCUCUCUCUCUCUUGUUUUUUUUCUUCUUCUUCUUUUUUUUCCCCUUGUUUUCUUUUCUUUGACACUUCACACCUACAUUAAGUUAUUUUUUAAUGAAUAAAAGUACUUGCCCGGUUAGUUAGUGCGGCUUCCAUUUUCGCUGCACUGAGUUUUGGAUUCUGCACGUCAUUCUUCAGGCCAAUCUUGUCUGCCAACUUGCAUCACUGCUUACGUCUCUUCUGCCACAAUUUAAAUUAUCAUUCUUAUUUAUUUUUAUAUUAUUAUUUUAUAUUAAAAUAUAAAAUAAAAUUUUUACGAAACUUAACUUAGCCAACACAGUAUGCUAUGAUCUCAGGCAUCAACCGCGAAGUCUUUUAUUACUUACGUCAGGGACGAUCAAUUAUAUACGUUCGAUUUUUGUUAGUGAAAAGAAAUAUUAUUAGAAUUGCCUCACUUAAUUUGUGUAAUUAGGUCGCACUUUAUAGAGUCCAGGAAUAAAUUAGCAUUUGACCAGGUUCACACCGAAUUUGAGCUACUAAUUUUUAAUUAGUUAACUAAUUUAUUAAUCACUAAUUAUAUCCAUUUUCAACUCUUCAAAUCAUGAACCCAUAUAUACAAAUUAAUAAUAGCUAGAUAAUUUGCCUCGUGCUGAUUUUUUGAUUAAUUUAGCCUUGCUUUAGUUAAUGGGGAAUUAAGUUGUUUUUCCAAAAUGUUUUAGUACUAAUGGAAGAGUGAGAAUGGCCACUUAAUUCCUUCCAAUAUUAUUGCCAGUAAAGUGUUAUAUAUAAAAAUAUAUAAAUACCGUUCUCUAACAGUUUAAUCUCUAGAGUACAAUGAUUAUUUCAUAUAAUAUUAAAGUAGGAGAUUCUGAAUUUGAGUCACGCCAUACUCUUAGUAUUAUUAAUUUUUUCCUAUUUAAUUUAAACUUGAUGGAGAAUGUUAAAUAUAAAAAUUAUAAAUAUCGUUUUCUAACAAUUUAAACUUUUAGAAGUAUAUUUAACAAAAAGUAAUCAAAGUUAACAUCCCUAAAUACAGGAAUUAACUAUUACUAGUGAAGAGAGCAAAAGAUAAAAUGUCAUAUGAAAAAGAGAAACGGUUGAAGGAAGAGAAGAGGUCGGUUCAAAAAAAGCAAAAAAGAUAUAAAAAAUCUAAAAAAAUGAGGGCUUGCCAUGUCAUCAUUUUUAUUGGAAAUUCAUAUAGAGUUAUAAAAGUUCAUUAUAUAUAUAUAUAUAUAUUGGCAUAUUAUUUAAUGUGAUUAUCUUGGGAUACUUGUGAUUUGUGUUAAUACUUUUUUCAAACAGCAAGUUAAUAACUUUUAAAAGUAACUAUAUAUAUAUAUUACAAAAUAUGUUCAAUAAUGAGUAUAUUUAUUCGAUAAUUAAAAAAAUAUCGAAUAAAGUUCACAAAAUAUUCAGACUUUCUCUUUAAUCGUGGCAUUGACUCAGAUAUUUUCACGUCCAGCAGGGCCCCACAAAUUUAAAUAGUUUGCCUACCACAUGAAAUAAACGAAGCGGGUAGUGUGCUAGCUAUCUCUCUCAAAAAAAAAAAAAGAAAAAAAGAACUAUGCGCAAUUCCCUAGGGCAAAGUGGCAAAGUGUUUCCUCAUAUACCUUUGUUCAAUUUAAUUUCUCUUAUAAAUGUUGCCACUUUUUUAUUAUUUUUUUUAAGAAUAAACUUCAAAUAUCAUCCUAUAAUUUUACAUUUUUUUAUUUUAGUAAUCUGUGAUUUAAAGUUUAUCAGUUUAGUAUCCUAUAGUUUCAUUAUUCUCUUUUCGUCAACCUUUUCGUUAAUUUUUCGUUAAAUCAUAUACAAAAAACUUCAGAUACUCUACCUAUAGUUUUCCGAAUAUUCAUUUUAGUAUCUUUUACUUUUAACUUUGUCACUGAUUUAACCAAAAAAAAAUAGUGGACGGGAAUGAUAAAAAUAAAUAAAAUAAAAUCAUAGGGUACGAAAGUAAUACACUUUAAACAUAUUAAAGUAAAAAAGUGCGAAACCACAUAAGUAGUAUUGAGUUGAGCUAGAAUACUUGUAAAAGUAUUAUGUGGGUGGUGCUUUUGAGUUUUUAGCCAUUGGAUGGAGAGAUGUGAGGUUGAGAUGAUGGUGAUAGGUGGUGGUAGGUGGUGGUAGGUGGAAUAGUGUUUGAUCUAAGGGCUAUUAAUAAUCAAGGAGUAGAUCCAAUGUCUAAAAACCUAAUAGCAUCAUAGAGGUAAUACUUGUAAAAGUAUUCUAGCUCAAUUCAGUGGUAUUUAAAGUUUUUCGUUUUUUUUUAUUUAAAUAUUUUCUUACUUACCCCACCUCUUAUUAAAAAAAAAAAAAAACAAAAACAACUACACAUUUGUUGCCACACCUAUAAACUGCUUUAGAUGGUCCCUUUUUUUAACUUACUAUUAUUAUAUAUUAAACUAAAUGCACUAAUUUUUCAUAAGAUUUUAUGCUAAAAGAGUGUUACUAUUGUUCAUCUAAAGCUUGUUGUGUGCGUGUGUGUGUGUGUGUUUUUUUUUUUUUUUUUUUUUUUAAAUUUUUUAUGGCAGACGAUUUGUAUGUUUAAAUUUUAGGGAAAACUUCAAAAAAUCCCCCUAUAGUUUCACACUUUUUCAUUUUAGUACCCUAUGGUUUAAAGCGUAUCAAGUUAGUACCCUAUGGUUUCUCACUUUAUCACUUUAGUACCCUGUGGUUUAAAGUGUAUCAAUUAGUACUCUGUGGUUUUAUUUUUGUAUCAAGUUAGUACCAUGUGAUUUUUAAACCACAGGGUACUAAAGUGAUAAAGUACGAAACCACAUAGUACAAACUUGAUACACUUUAAACCACAUGGUACUAAAGUGAAAAAAUGCAAAACCACAGGUACUAACUUGAUACACUUUAAACCACAUAGUACUAAAGUGAGAAAAAGUGAAACCACAAGGGGGGUAUUUGAAGUUUUCUCUAAAUUUUAAUUACAUAGUAUAAAUUAUUACGUAUAAAAUUAUAUGUAAUAUAACUGUCAUGAAAAAUUUUUUUAAAAAAAAUAUUUUUAUAUAGCUCUCUGUAAAUAUAUCGAAUAACAGAUAUAUUCCUAUAAAGUUUAAUUUUUUAUAUCUAUGCUUAAAAAAUUCUAACGAUUUCAAAUCUACCAUGAUGCUAGUGUCAAUUAUAAAAAUAUAGUUAGCCGUAGGUGAAAUAUUCAACCUUGAUUAGUCAUGCAUGAAGCAAAUUGAACUUUUCACUCCUGUGAUUUAUACCUUUUUCUCUCAAUCAAACCAUAGCAAUGAAAACCCUUCUUCUUCCUCGCCAUCUUUUUCUUUAUCUCCCUCUCUCUCAUUCAAGCUAGUUUCAAAUUCGUAACUAGAAUUUAUCUAUCCUCAUUCCUUUACGAUGUGUAUUACUUUGCUCCAUGUUGAACACCGAAGAAUAAGUAUUAAAUGGGUAAAAAUCAUAAAAGGAGUAAAAGAAGAGGUAGAGAAGGGGUUGUAGCAAUGAUGAAUUGGAUUAGUUUUUUAUAAAGAAAAAAAUGACUAUUGAAGAUUUUUUCGAACGAUAUCUUAGAAAGAUCGUAACAAUUAAGACUUUUGGAGGAAUAUAUUUGUGAUAAUAAAAUUGACAUUUUACUUAUCUUCUAUUAAAAAAUAAACAGUAAGCUAAUGCUAAUAAAUUAGAGAAAUAAAUGUAAAAAAAAAAAUCAGAAAAAUAAAUAUAAAUAUCACUUGAUUAUUUUAAAAAUAAAUUUAAACUUUUAAAAUUUAUAAAAAUAUAUUCAUUAUUGGCCAAUUUGCAUAAAAAUUCUAUUAGUUUUCAGCGUUUGCAAAAGUAGGUCGUCCUUUUAAAUUUUGCAGAUUCGUGCCGAAUUUUUAGAAAGCUGACUAAAAUACCCUUAUUCCCUUUUCUCUCUUCUCUUUUUUUUUCUCGUUCUUUUUUUUUCUCUCCGAAGAGGGUGAUGGAGGCAUUUAUUUGAAUACAUUAUAACUUUUGUAGAGAUAACUUAUGAAAGUUGAACUUUGUAUGAAUAUAUCUGCUAUUCAUCAUGUUUGUGGGGACCUGUAUGAAAUUAACCCUAAAAAUUUAUAUGCAAAAAUUUUUCUAAUUUAAAUUUUUAUGACGAGAGAAAGAGAAGGUUGGAUCGGAAAAGAUGGGCCCCAUCCCUAACCCUACAACCAAGUGCCCAAAUUAAAUAAAAGAAUAGUGCCGACACAUAGGAAGUGAGCCGAGAAUUCAUAUAUUAACAUAGAUAAUAAUAAUAAUAAUCAUAAUUUCUCCCAUAAAUUUUGGGAGCUUGAUUUUUUUUUAUCUUCAUUAUUUUUUUAUUUGCAUUCCAGAUGCUUCAUUCUUUUUUAUUUAAUUACUAACAAUUAUAAAAUAUUUACUAGGUCAAAAUCACACCUUACCAUGCACGUGGAAAGAUUUUCGUGAAUCAUGUCCACCAACCACAUCAGUCCUCAACUAUAUAAGAGCCAUGGCAAAGGGGAAUUCAUGCUAUUUCCAUUUCUUCACAUCCGACCCAAACUGCUGUCAGUCCCGGUCGAAUCAGACAGAUCCACAUGGGACAAGUGGUCGGCCUUAAAAGGAGUCCUCCUGCCGCCCGCUUAAUUCUAGUGAACCACUGUUAUUCUAAUCGCACGUAUUUUUAUUCAAAGAUUAGAAAUUUAAUAGCAUUAAUGACUUGGUGCUAUUAAUAACAUUCCAGCCAAAUUCUAUAUAUAGUCCUGUUGGGAUACUAUCGAUAGCACCAAGUGUUUGGUACUACCGAGUUUUCUAUCAUUAGAUUUCUCUUUUUUAUUAUUUUUAACCGUUAGAUCAUACUAUUCAACUAGCCAUCCACUCAAUCCUAGGAGAUCACAUCAUCCUACCCGUAUGUAUUUUCAUCCAAAGGUUAGAAACCUAAUAACACCAAUGACUUGGUGCUAUUAAUAGUAUUAAUUCCAGCCAAAUUCUCUCUCUCUCUCUCUCUCUCUCUCUCUCUCUAUAUAUCUAUAUAUAUAUAUAUAUAUAUAAAGAGAGAGAAAGUAGAGCUGCUAUGCUAUUGGAAGUAUAGAGGAUCCAGUGCUUCUGACUUUUUGGUCUAUAGAUUAACCUCUUUAAUCAUUUCUAACUUUUGGAUUAAUACUAUUACCUUGUGGGGACUACUUAACCCUAAGAGUACCACUCAAUCCUUGGGGGACCGUAAUCAUCCAAACCGUACAAUUAUUGAUCCAAUGGUUAAAAAAUCGAAAGUAUCAAAUCUUUUAUGCUUCCAAUAGUAUAGUAGCACUACAAUAUAUAUAUAUAUAUAUAUAUAUAUAUAUAGAGAGAGAGAGAGAGAGAGAGAGAGAGUUGAGCUAAAAUACUAUCAAUAGCAAAUAGGCUUCUUUGCCACUCAUUUGUUUUCGAUGAUAGAGCCUCCAAAUCGAUGAUCGGCACCGUUGAACAUGAUUUAUACCACUUGAAGUGUUUAGAAAUCAAAUUUUAAAUCUUUUCGACAUCAUUUGCCUAAUGAUCAAAGGGUUUCAAACUUUGUAAUUUUAAUGGUCGAUAUGAGGCGUUUUCUCAUUUAACGGCGUAAAGAUAUUCAAAUCAAUUGAAUUUUUGUUAGAAAAGUUUUUAAACUAUUUAAAACAAGAUCUAUACUCUUGAUCUUAAUUACAAGACUCAUAUUAUCAUUUUUUUAAAAAUAUUCAUUUUCAACCGUUCAUUUUUGUGUCCACGCGAUGGAUUAGAGAAUAAUAUCGAAAAUGUAUGAAAUUUGAUUUCUAUACAUUUCAAGUGGUAUAAAUCAUAUUCAACAGUGUCGAUCGUCGAUUUGGAGGCUCCAUCAUCGAAAACAAAUUGGUGGCAACGGAGCCCGUUUGCUAUCGAUAGUAUUCUAGCUCAACUCUCUCUCUCUAUAUAUAUAGAGUCCGGCUAUGAUGCUUGUGAAAGCACCAAGCACUUGGUGCUUGUAAAUUUUUUACCGUUAGGUCUCUACCUUUGAUAAUUUUUACCUGUUAAAUUAUACUAUUCAACCAACCACCCACUCAACCCUAGGGGGCCUACAUCAUCCUAACCACACAUUCCUUAAUCCAAGAGCCAAAAACUUACAAGCACCAAUGACUUAAUACUUUUAAAAGCAUAGGAGCUCAAUUAUAUAUAUAUAUAUAUAUAUANUAUAUAUAGUUGAGUUAUAAUACUAUCGGUAAGAAACAGACUCCAUUGCCACCUAUUUAUUUUUGAUGAUGGCGCCUCUAAAUUAAUGAUCAUGACCAUUGAACAUGAUCUAUAUUUUUUAAGUAUUUAGAAAUCAAAUUUUAUGUCUUUUCGAUAUUAUAUAUUCUCAUGUCCAUUAAGUAGAUACAAAAAUAAAUGGCUGAAAAUGAAUCACUUUUAAAAAGUGAUGAUAAAAGUCUUAUAAUCCAGAUUAAGAGUAUAGAUCUUCUUCUAAAUAGUUUAAAUUUUUUUUUAACCAAAAUUCAAUUGAUUUGGAUAUUUUUACGCCGUUAAACAAGAAAACGUCUUAUAUCAACCAUAAAUUACAAAUUUUGAAGCUCUUUGAUCAUUAGGCUAGUGAUGUCGAAAAGAUUUGAAAUUUGAUUUCUAAAUAUUUUAAGUACUAUAGAUCAUGUUCAACAGUGCUGAUCGUCGAUUUGAAGGCUCUAUCAUCGAAAAUAAAAUGGGUGACAACAGAGCCCGUCUGCUACCGAUAGCAUUCCGACUCAACUCUCUCUCUCUUUCUCUCUCUCUAUAUGUGUAUAUAAAUUUCCAUCAUAUUUUUCAAUAUGUAAACUAAAUAAAACAGUAAUUACUAUGACAAUUAAAUAUAUUUUUAAUAUAACUGUCAUUAUUCAUUAUAUUAUUUUAUCGUAAUUGACUUCGUCUUAGUCUGUUUUUAAUAACUCGAAUUUCGACUAUAUUUUAAUUACGGCAACUCGAAUAGCAAUUAUUAUCAUUUACGACUGAAAACAAUUUAGCCCUAUCUGUUUUUAACCCAAAUGAAUAAGUCCUUGAAGUAUUUUCAUAAUUUUUUAAAAAAAUAUAUAUUAAGAUGGUAAUAAUUAAAGUAAGAGUUAAAAUAAAUUUGCACACCGAUUACGGCCUGAACGCGGUCGAGAGGACAAUUUUUCUUUAAAUCCUUUGCGAACAGUUCGGUGCCACGUGUCCAUUCUACAACCGUUGGGUCAAUGUCGACGCGUGCGCCGACACGUGGCGUCGGCGCACGAAUCGAGGAAAUGUCCCCGCAGGGUCUCGCACGUGCUUGUUCGCACGUGUUACCCAACUCCACCAUUCACAAUUUCUUUGGACGCGUAUUCAAAUACAGAUAAUAUAAAUAUAUAUAUCUGACGCUAAAUUUUUAUUUAACUAUAUUUAUUUAAAACGAAUUAAAAUUUAAAUAUUAUUUAAAUAAUAAUACAUAAUAAAAUAUUUUUAUAUAAAUUAAAAUUAGCACAAUAAAAUAUAAAAUAACUAAAUUAUGAAUGUAAAAUUUUGGAUAAAAUUAUUAGAUUCUUGAAUAACUGUGUUAGAUAUGUGGAUAAAACUAUUUUGAAUAUCAAUCAUUAAAUUUUUAGACAACUGUGCUAAAUACGACGGGUAAAACCCACAGUUUUCGAGAACACAAAGGCGCGAUCUACUAAUUACACUUUGAAAGCCCUUGUAAUUAAUUAAGUUGUACCGCUCCACCAGCAUAGCUCCUUCUUUUUUUUAUUUUUUUGAGAAAAAGGUAGCACGCUACCCGCUUCAUUCAUUAAAAUGAUGAACUCAGUUAUAGGUGUGAGGCAACACGGCCUCGGGGUGAGGGCGAAAAAGGUAGCAUAGCUCCUUUUUUAAUUAUUAUUACUACACCUAUUUAAUUUCAUUUAGACACUUCGAGAAAUAGGUUUUAUUUAUUAUUGCUACCACACCUAUUUAUUUUUUUAUAAACUUAUUAUAUCAUUUAGGCACUUCUAGAAGUAGGUGGAUUGCUUCUAACAAUUUUUUAUUUUAUCACGUAAUAAUUAAUUAAACAAAGUGCUGAAUUUGAGGACUAGGAUAAGAGACAGUUCACCGCAUACAAGCUUUUAUAGAAACGAAUAUAGAACUAGGCUAGAAUACUAUCAAUAGCACCAAGCUAUUGGUGCUAUUAGUUUUUCGGUCCUUAGAUGAAAAAAUAUACGGUUAAAAUGAUGCGAGUUCUCUAGGGUUGAGUGAGUUAUUUAUUUAAUAGUAUAAUUUAACGAAUAAAAAUAGUCAAAGAGUUAAAUCUAACGGCGAAAAAUUUGAUAGCACCAAACGCUUAGUGCUAUCGAUAGUAUUCUAGGCAGACUCACUAACAUAAUGUAUGUUACAAACAUGCAAUUAAUUAAUUCAUUGGCGUAUUUCACACUACAACAGAAUUAGAUUAUAGGGACACAUGUUUGGGACACUUUUGUCUAAGUGUCCCAUUUAUGUCAAAAUUUUAAAAAACAUCUAUUAAUGUCUAAAUAUAAAGCCGAAUCCAACAAAAAAUAAAAUGUUACUAUACUCAACCUACCCAACCCAGCCCAUUUGGUCCGAUUCCAAAUAGAAAAGAAAAAAAAAAAAAUCGAUUACCAUCUCCCCAUCUUCCCUCACUUAAUCCAUUGAAAUUCUAGAAGAAGGGCCCUUCCCUCUCGUUCUCCUCCGCCACCGCAGCCAACGAGAUAGAGUUCUGACACUACAACAAAACAUGCCUUUAGUGGCAAUUAAAUAGUGGCCAUUAUGAAAUGGCUGUUAUUGAUUUAAUAUCUAAUUAUAUUUUCGCAAUAAUUUUUAAAUUAUAAAUCAAAUAGGAACCCCAAUAUGAACCAAUCCCGAUCCCACCGGAUUGUAACCCAAUCCCACCCCUCUCCUUCCUUGCGUGGAUCCUCCUCCCUCUCUACCAACAUCGCCUUCUCCUCCACCUCUCUCCAAUGGCGCCGCUCCCUCAAGCUCCAAACCCUACCCCGCAGGUCUCCUCCUUCCUUCUCCCUCCUCCACCGUAGGAGCUUACGAUCCUCUUCCUUCUCUGCUCCUCAGGAGGGAGUGCCCUAACACCGAGUGCGGGGCGGGGACGUUCAUCGCCAACCACUUCGAUCGCCAUUACUGCGGCAACCACGAACUCUUCUUCUUCGACUCUCCUCUCAACUGCUUCUACACAAAGGGGUCGCCUGAGGUAAAAGCUUAGGGUUUCUAAGCCAUCCUCUCUAUCACCUUUUUUUUUUUGUUGCAAAAUUUGUUGAGAUUUUGUUCCUUUGAUAUGCUCUAUAGGAUCAGAUCGAAGAUUAGGUUUCAAUAUUUCAUAAGGUGUUUGUUUCUUUUAAUGCUAUUGAAUCAUGAGGCAUAGAGAUGGGAUUUUUGUAUUGGGUUUGGAUGAAGUGUAUGUGUAGCCCCUGAAUCGUGAUAAUUUUGUGACUUGGUCGCUGUAAUUUUCACUUGAAUAUUGUAGACAACGCUGCCUUUCAAUUUCAUUUAAAAGAAAAAAUGAAAUAAGUGAAUCAUUUUACAAAUGGAGGUAAUUUUUUCAUUUUGUAACUAAAAUCAAGCAUUUUUUUUUUAAAGUUGGGGAUUGAGGGUCCUAAAGUGCAAGAUAUGUGAAAUUUCAUGGACUAAAAUGUUUGAUUAUAGGGAGCAAGCUGAUCUCUGAGCAUUUUACAGUAAGAUAUUUUAUGAUUGCAGUUUCUAAAUAAUUUUGUUUGUAUGCAUUCCUCUCAGAAUUAGUGUCUGAGUGGAAAUUAUUUACCUCUUUUUUGAGUAAAUGGUUGAGAUUACUUGCUUGUAUUUUUGCGACCAGAUCAGUAUUCAACACUAACUAGUUAAGGUUUUCUAAACUUGGGUUUACUUUUAGCUAUUUUUUUUUGUUUAUUGCUCAAUACGGUGAAAUUGGAGAAUGAAUAUUCAACCAGCCUUAUUUAGUCUUUGUUUGGUCGAAGUCGUCAUCUUUGUUUUCAAAGAUAAGAGAGCUAUUUGUGUAUAUUUCUCGUCUUUUAUCUAGUAGUCCUUGUUGCUUAUGAUUAGCUUUGUUUUUUUUGUUUCUCAUGUUUUCUACUUUUCAUAGUCCUAUUCUGUUUAUUUAUAGAUCACAAAAAAAAAAGAUGGUGAAUGUUGUUGCUGUUCUAGGUAGCAAUGAGGGUGUCAAAGGCACAAUCAACUUCACCCAGGAAGGAGAUGGUAAAUAUAAUACCUAAUCUCAAGUUCAUUUUCGUUGUACUAUUUACAAAAUUUGACUUAGACUAUUGCUUCAUAUGCCACUUCGUUUUUCUUUUUCCCCUUGUUUCAUUGAUUUAGGUCCAACAACUGUGAUUGGGAUGAUCGGGAGCAUAUCUGGCCUCAAACUGGGGCUAUAUGGCUUCCAUGUCUAGGCACUUAUUGGUGACACUAUCUGAUUUGUGGAGGUGAUAUUUAGUUGUCUAUUUAUAGUGUUUUUUAUAAGUAUCUUUUUUUCUAAGGUAAACUAAUUUUUGUUUGGUUGUUCUAUUGUUCUGCUUGAUUUACUAGUGGUUUAUGUGUUGUAAUAUUGUUCUACUUGAUUCGGCGGUAUAGUGUUGUCAUUUAUUCACAUUGCUUUGAUUCGAGAAGAAAUAAUUUUAGGGAACACUUUUGUAUGUGUUUUUUUUCCCUCUGUGACAUAGACAAAUUUUGUCAUGUUUAGAGAAUAAAAUUGUGAUGCAUUACCUGGACAGUGUUCUAGGAGUAGGAACUAAGCCUCUUAUAUUGAUUGCACAUAGGUAUAUCACCUGCUUAGUACGCCUCACUUUUACAAUAGACUUUUUAGCCUCAAACUUCUAGGGAGAGAAGAUGAUUCAGAGGAACAAGUCCGUGAGUCCUAACCAUCACGUGAUUCAUAGACCCACGUCCAUCCCAACUAUACUGUGAUCACAUACACAUUUUUGAACUUGUAACCGAGUUCAAGAUAAAAUUUUGAGAGAUUUCAAACUUCAAAUUAGUUGCUUGGAUUCUUUGUGAAGAGUUGAACUUGGGGAGUGCUUCAAUUCAGUGACCUGGUAGGUUUUGAUUGCUGAAAUGGUGAAUAGUGCUGGAUGUGGCAAUUCUUGAAUUAGAUGGAAUUUACCUUGCUUAAUCUAGUUAGCUGAGCUUUUGCUGGGUUUUGGGUGAUCUUAACUUCAUCUUUUUCUAGUAAGAAUCUUAUUCGGGUUGAAUCGAAGGUUAGUUUAGAGAGAAUUUCAGAUUUUACUUGAGUUCCAAUCAAUUUAACCUCAUGUGGAAUUCUGAUUUUUUAAUCCAAUAUCCACCUCUUUUAGCUGAGAAGUAUUGGUGUGAUUUUGGAUGUUUUCAUGGUAGAUGAGUUAUGGAUCGACCUUUGAACUCUCCCUCACACCCCUCUCCUUGUUGCUCUCUUGCUGGUUGGUUUUCUGCGGAGCACGCAAUCAACAACAGCUAUAACAAUCAGCCGACAGCAGCAACAUCAGCAUGCUGGCAGCAUUGAGUCGAGAAUUGGGAGCUAAAUUGGAUAUGAUUCGAUGCUCCAUUUUCGAAAUUGAGCUCUUAUAUUUGUGUGGGGAGAAGUUGAGAAUCAUCUUGUACCUUCCUUGAGCUGGAUUUGCAGGUUAAUAGCUCUGAUUUUUAUGUUGAUCGAAGGUGAUGCAUAAUGCUGAUUUUUGACCCAACUUCAUAUUUGAAUAAAAUUCGUUUGAAUUUCUUCUAGGAACUGAGUUUGGAAGGAUUGGAAGCGAUCUCAACUUCAUCCUUUUGUGGUUAGAAUCUUGUUUGGACCAAUUUGGAGGUAAAAUGAGUAAGAAUUUUAGUUUUCUUUGAGGUUGAAAAUCGGAAAACUGAUUUUGGCAUUCUUCGCAUUUUUGACUUUUAAUCACUUUUGCAUGGUAAUUUUGUAGUGAUCAAGUGAGUUUUCUGGUGGAUUAAAAUCCUGGGAACACACUUUAGAGUAUGUUGGUGUUCCUCAUUCCCUUGGUUAUCCCGUGGAUUAGCCCUUGGAGCGGAGACAGCAGCAAGUAUUUUUGGCAAUUAGUUUUGAUUUGGACCUUAUUGCUACGAUUUGAUGCUUCUAGGGUGUUUUUGAAGUACAGAGGAACAUGGGAAUUAUGUUUCAACUAUUGGUUUGAGGUGAGUAAUACUAAAUUUUAGUUUUUUUCGAACUGAAUCGACAUUGAUGGAUUCUUCUUAAUCCACGGUACAAAUCCCACGAUUUCUACAUUGCAGGAGACACGAACAUGGGAAUUAAGUUUCAACUAUUGGUUUGAGGUGAGUAAUACUAAAUUUCAGUUUCUUUCGAACUGAAUCGACAUUGAUAGAUUCUUUUUUUUAGUAUAUAUAAACUAAGCAAAUGAUGAAAAGUAAUAAGGGAAGAGUGAAAAUGCUGUCCAUGCAUGAAAAAUGCAACCAAAAACACCAUGUACGCACUUUCAAGGAGCUUUUGCUGGCAGCCACCUGAGUAUCCAGAGGUCUUUCCGGUCCACCGUCAACCUUAGACGUGUCCUAUCUCUGUCACGGCCUUUUCAUACUGGGAAUGGUGUUUUCUUUUUUUCUUUUUUUUUUUUGUUUUCUUUGAGGUCGAGCUUGGAAUGGACUUAAACAGUAAAUUACCGUGUUUUGACUAGUGUGAAACAGGCAGCUUCUAUCGAGCUGAUGCUCUCGUUGACAAAAAAGUGGAAAUUCUCCGAUCUUUUUCAGGACGGGUUGACUAAUGUGAACGAGCAAACAAUUGUACUAACAUUCGUAGACGCAUCCUUCCUCGCCAUUUGCACAAAAGAGCUCAACAAGUGUUUUAAUUAGAUCGACAUCCACAGAUGACGAACCCGUGGGAGCGUCGUAUCACAGUUAAGAAGUAACAACAUAUCACCUUUUUUUUAACUUUCUUUUUUUUUUUCCGCCCUCCUCGAGACCUCAGAUGUUUCAUCCCCGUAACUAAAUUCAUAAUUUCAAUAAAUAAAGCGAGUAAAAUAUUAGCAUCAUAAACACUAAUGGCGUCAACACUCGGAUUGUAGAUGAUAACACUGUUAAAUUUGUAACUGGAUCUUCCAAGGAACUUCAUGAGAAACUUGGCAAAUAAUAUGGAAGUGAAUGCGAGGCAUGAAAGUAUUAGGAGUGCGUCUUUUUUCAAAGAAAACUAAAUGCACACUAUAUCUCUGUUUUUGGAAUCUUUUUUGCCUAACUAUAUUUUUUGCUUUGAUCUGAUGAACUUGGUGUUUAAUACUGAACGGAGUGUAUACAGUUCAGAUUCCGCCUUUUUUUUUUUAAUGCAUUUAUGCAGGAAAGCUAAUAACUUAGCAUUGAUCUUAUUUGAUGCUGUAGUUUGUGAUCCAGUCAUGGGAGAUGAAGGAAAGCUAUAUGUUCCACAAGAGUUGGUAUCUGUGCAUCGAGAAAAGGUGAGCCUCAGACCACUUGAUCUACAUUUUACGGCACAUUACCAUCGUUUUCUAGCAUUUUAUAAAUUUGUUUUAUGUCCUGUAGUUUAUUCAGAGAUAAUGGCUUGGAGUCAUGUUUAAUACUCUUUGUUCUUAAUUUUCUUUAUAUGAUGUUAUAUUUUUGACAAGUCUGUGAUGUUUGAUCUACAUGUUUAAUAUUUUUUUCCUUUUUCGUUUUUGUUAAUUAAUGUAAGGUCGUUCCUGUUGCUUCUAUGCUUACUCCAAAUCAAUUUGAAGCUGAACUACUGAUUGGAUUGAGGUAGGUAUGCGUUUAGUUUGAAGAAUAACAUUUAUUUUACAUUGGCAUCAGGAGCAUCUGACCAGAGUCCAUAUAAUACUAUUUAUAUCUAAUUUUUUUUCUUUAGGAGCGUCUGAUCACUUUGUAAUCAUAUUUAUGUACGAAAAUGCUUCACAGGUUGUUGUUAGAAGAGUCAUAUCCUGGUGUGCUACUUUUUGAUUUUUGAACCCGGAAUUGUAUUUAAUAUAUUGUGAUUUAGUAUAGGAUUAAAAGAGUUAGUUAUUUUGUUAAGUUUAACUAAAAUCACUGUUUGUGGAGGAAUUAUGUAUAGCUUCAAUGUAGUAGAAUUUUGAUGCUUGCAAUUUGAUAAUAAUUACUUGAUUGCUAUUGUCAUGACUCUAUAUUGACAUCUUCAUGUUUUAUUAGAGUAGUUGCAUCUGGUUUGUAGGUCUGUUGCAUCCAACAUGCAAAUAUGAAUCAUGUUAAAUCUGAGCUAAUUCUACUCAUAUGACAGUUACUUCAUUGAAUCUUAUUAUAUAGUUGCUAGUUCAAUUUGCCAUCCUAGAUAUCUAGUACUAAGAUUACUGGUCAUUUUCUAUUCAAUCGAUUAUUUGGUAACAUGUAUCAAAACUAGUUGUAAAUUCAUGCCAUUACUUAUCUGGAUUGGCUGAUAACUAUGAAAAUGCCGCUUUGGUAUGGUAAUGAGAACUCAUAUCCUUGCUUACUAACCGUAGCUUCGUAUUUACCAUCCUUAUUAUCCAACUAAAGACGUUAACCCAUUUAAUUUCAUGUUUUCGCUGAAGGAUAAACACUAAGAGCUGAAUGAUAGCUCAACAUAAGCAAGGGAGGUUCCAAAUGUUAUGAACUUUAUGAGCUGAAUGAUAGCUCCGAUUCUCGACCCGGCGAUCCCCAUAUCUCCCUUGCUAUCGCCCAUGACCUACUCGGCCCCGCGAGGACGAUCCUCGACGAUCCGAUCCGAGCCCUCAGCGGUGCCGCUUCUCGAUUCCUCUUCUCAAUUUGGUGCUCCGAUCCAUUGGUAAGAGUUCUCAAUCUCAAAUCAUUAGUUUCGUACUCGAAUCCUCAGUUAUCUCAAAUCAUUAGUUGUAGGAAUGAUUAGACGAUUUAGAUGUUUCAUACUUUCUUAUCCUUUAUUUAUUUGCAAAUUUGGACUUAUUCAGAAAUCUGCAUUGGUUUAGAAAUCCUACUAUAUCUGCAUGUCUAUUUUGUUUUUUCUUGGGAUUUCAUUAAAUUCUUUUAAAUAAGGUAAAUGCUUAUGGGGUUGUGGGCUUAGAGCUUAGGGUUUAGGAUAUUUGGGUCGUAUUAUAAAUGCUUUAGCUACACCUAUUGAUGGGAGGGGAAAUUUCAGCUUCUAAAUCUUGGUUAAUGCCCCCUCAAAUAGGGCUUAUUGCUAUUGAUUCUAUAUACGUAGAUGAAUAAAUAUGUAUCAUACUCUAGACUAUUAACGAAUAUCUAUCCCGAUCCUUCUCUAUUAAUUAUUGGUUUACACACCAUUUGUCUUUCCGCCAGCGGCUUAUGUAGUGGUCAGCCAAAGCCUCACAGCAUCUAGUAGUCUUGCCCCGACUUGAUACCCUAGCAUCUAAAUAGGGGCUCUUCCUUAAUUUACUUGUGCUUGGAUAAUGAAGGAGCAUAUAUGAGCAUGAAUCUUUUUACUACACUAAAAAAAAAGAUGUAGGUUAUGCUGCUUUAACUUUGUUCUUUUGUAUCUUGAUACAUUUUCUUUUCAGUAGCUUUUCUACCUUUGUUUAAUGAUCUUAAUCUUUUUUUUUUUUUGUUUAAUGCAUUUCGUAGUGCAGAUACCAAUUUUCACUUUGUUGGGUGGCAAACUUUUACUGAACUCUUAAUUCAACUUCGGUCGCACUUUGUUGGGUGGCAAACUUUUACUGAACUCUUAAUUCAACUUAGGUCGCACUGUCUAUAUAUUUUAUUAGGUAACUUCAUAAUUUUUUGAAUCAAGUCUAGAUUUAGCCUAUAGCCUGAAAUCUUUUUUGCUGUUCUCAUAUUCAUUUUCAGAUGUGCUUGUCUACUUAAUUAAAGUGCUAUUAUUACAAAAUGAAAAGAAAAGAUAGACCAAAUCAGUACAACCUAACUUUUAUAUUUUUCAGAAAUUUGAUAUGAUGAUUUUUAUUUGGUAAUUUCGGACACUGAUUUUAUGACUUUUUUUUUGUUGAUCCAGAACAGCUGGAGCUGCGGAAAUUGAAGUGGGAAGCAAGAAUUUCAAACAUGCGGUGUUUGUUAUUUUUUAGCUACAUUUUGAACAAGUAUUUUUUGUUAGAACUUAUGUUUGAAAUUUAAUUUGAAUACUGAGAUUGUAAUUUGAGAGUUGAGACUAUUUGUUAUACAAAUUAUUAAUGCUUUUUGGUUACUAAUAUUUUUUAAUAUUUCAAUUCAUUGUAGUAUUUAGUUGUUAAUCAAGUAUUUUAAUAUUAAUUUAAUUGCCGCUAUAAGCUUUAUUAAUCAAUCAUUUAGUAUGUUUUUUGCGGCAAUUAUAAUUAAUUGUAGCGGCAUUUAUAAUAGUUGUUAUUGUAUAUUAUUUAGCGGCAUUUAUAAUAGUUGUUAUUGCAUACUAUUUAGCGGCAUUUAUAAUAGUCGUUAUUGUAUAAUAUUUAGCGGCAUUUAUUUGGAUUUUUACCAACCGCCGGAAUAAAUGCCGCUAAAACUUUUAGCGACCCUGCCAAUAGCGGCAAUUGUUAAAAUUGCCACAAAAUAUUUUAGCGGCAAUUGUAAUUGCCGCUAAUUUAAAAAAUAAUCGCCGCUAAAAUAUAAUUUUGUUGUAGUGUGACUAUUGCUAGAUGCUUAAAUAAGUGUUGCUAAAUUAGCAAGACUUUUGUAGGUUAUAGCGACACUCUUUAACUGUCACUAUAUACCUAGCGACCCCACAUAUAGCAACACUUUUUAAAAGUGUUGGUAAUUUAGCCAGCAACACUUUUUUUUACCUAUACCGAUAUUUAAAAGUGUCGCUAUAGACCGUUUUUGUUGUAGUGUCAUGAGCAUAUUAACAACUAACACAAACAUAUGCAUAGAAGUGCUUAAGCAGUUAAUUAGAAAUGUCAGUAGAUGACUGAAACAUAUGCAUCGAUAAGCUUACCAAUUAAUUGUUUAUUUAGUUUCUCAUAUCCACAAACAAGACAUACUAAUUAGUUGUCGGAAAAGAAGCUAUGAAAAGGAAAUAUUGUUUGAGUGAUCAAAAGUAUAUGUGAGAGUUCCAAAAGUUAAUGUUUAAUGCACAGAAAAUGUGCAGUGGCUCUGCGAUGUAGUUGAACGUUAAAUCAUGCAUGGUGGUACUUCGCAGCAACGUAGGGGCACUUCGAAGGGGUAAGAGAAUAUGUAGAUGCUAUCGUUUUAAAGAGGCGAUAAGGUUCGUUUGAUUAUCCAACCGUUUUACGUGCAUGCAUGCGUGCGUGCGUGAGUAUUGACGAAGGAUCUAGUAAAAUGUGUCGAUCAGCAAGGGAUUCAUUGUACGUUCCACACCACGACCUUUCCAAUCAAAUUAUUACAGCUCCAACAAACUAAUCUGACAUGUUAACGUUCAUAAACUAUUUUUUAUCAAAUUGAUCUUUUAACUCUGCAUCACUCGAUUGGUUUUAGAGGUGUUGAGGUUGUAUUCAAACACCUUCAAAGUGUUUUAAUAUGAGCGUAUCGAGCAAUUUGAUUUAGGACUAGCCAUUGCUAGAAACAGAAAAAAAAUUGUUUGUCCUUUGUUUUGUUAUGGUAUCUCUUUUAUAAGUACAAUAUUGAUAUGAUAUUUAUAAUUUAACUAAUUUAAAAAUUGCAUGCUAAGCUAUAAGUAGGUAAAUCAUUUCUAGUACUACGUGAUCGAGCUAAUAAAUAUAUAUACAAUAAAGAAGAUGUGAUUAUUGAGGCAAUUGAAUUGAAAUAGUUAGUUUUUAUGAUUGAAUAAUAAUAAGUUGAGAUGGUUAGUUGUUGCACUCAACAUCAUGCAUGGGCUUUACGUCGUCGUUUUACGUGCCACACGGUUCCAUCUAAAAUUGCGUGCACAUUUUAUUUUUAAUUUUAUUCUUUACCUUUUUUUUUUUUUUACUGUAGUAACUUCUCUCAAAAAAUACAAAAAAAAAACAGAGAGGAAAACUUAGCUAAUAUUUUUGUACACUACCCUACGUCACCCGUUUACAGGUUGGCCCCGUCUACAUGAUAGCCUCAUCGCGUACGUAAUUUGAGCCACACAUAGUUCACUAUAAAAUGAAAAAAUUAAAGGGAAUUUUAAAAAAAAAAAUUCAUUGACCAUAAGUUUUAAUUUAAUUGACACGCGUCGCUAGCUAGUUUGAAGGUUAAAUUUGACAUUUUUUUAUUAGAAUAUUUGAGCGCGAUAUAAAGAUUGUUGGCUUAAAUAAACCAGCAUUUUGUUCUGUGCAGGGAGGCUAAGUAGACUGAGUCACGUUCGAAAUGGCGCGAGGUUGGGUUGGACGAAGUCAUGUUUGAAGUGGCGUAAGUUUAGGGGGACCGAGCCAUAAUCGAGACUCGUAGGCGUUGUAUCUAUACGCUUUAAUUAAGUGAAUUAGUUGCAUAGCUCGAGCUUUUGGGAUUAACGAUUAGCGCCAACGAUCCGACAUCUUUUGGGAUUAACGAUUAGCGCCAACGAUCCGACAAAGAUGUCUGCGGUUGAUGAUUCAAUUGAAUAGCGUGACGGCUAAAAAGUUAAAGUAAAAAUAAAUUUGGAAGAAAAAAACAUAUUUGCUUAUUUAUAAGGUUUAAUUAGUCAUUAAUUAGAUGUAAGAAGACACAUGCAUUUUUAUAUUAAUCCAAAAGAAGGAAUAAAUUUGCAUAUUUUAAGUAUUUCGAGGAAUAGGUAUGAUAUAUUUAAAUUUGCAGGGAUAAAUUGAUAUAAACAAAUUUCUUUUAGAGAGCUUUUGUGAGCACAUAAAAAUAUUAGUGAUUUGGAAGUAAUUGCUUGCGCUGAUGCAUUUGUGAGUUUAUUCAUCUUAAUUUCAUCCACUCAUCAUUGAUCCCAUCUAAUAUUGUCAAAUUCAAAAUAUCCAUUGCAACAUCCAAUAUAUGAAUAAAUGUGCAAGCAUCGAUAUAUAUAUAUAUAUAUAUAUUGUUUAACUAAUAUUUAGCGAAAAACAUAAUUAGCGACCAUAAUAUUAUUGAAAAAAUUAUGACCUAAAACUAGCUAAAAAAAUAUUUUUUCAAUCAAAAUGUCUUUUUUAGAGAUAUUUUUGGGUAAACCAAAUAUUUUUAGUAAUGUUUUUUGCAUAAAAUACGGAGAAUCGUUUUUUAUGAAAAAGAGUUUUUGAAUAAAAAAUAAUUUUAUAGGAUAUGAUGCUUGGUUCAUAGAAAAAGAAAAUCAGUUUCCAUACCAUAUUUAUUUACCUUGUCCCGAAAAAUAGAAAAAAUAAUAUAUAUAUAUAUAUAUAUAUAUAUAUAUAUAUAUAUAUAUAUAUAUAUAUAUAUAUAUAUAUAUAUAUAUAUAUAUGAGUUAUUUAGAUAAAUUAUUUAGUUUAUUUUAUCUAAACAUAUUAUUUAAGUAUUAUAGGAUAAAUAAUAACAAGAAAUCAAAUAUAUUUUAAAAUAAUAUGAGAUUAUAAGUAGAGAUUAUAAGUAUGCAAUUAUAUGUAGAGAGCAAUUACUCUGUUUUUUUAUUAUCUAAUAAUAAAAUAAUAUAUAAUAUAUUAUUUAUACAAUGUAGUUUAUGCAUUCGGUCAAUGAGGUUAUACUACUUUAAGCUCAUGGACCACGUCAAAAUUCCUAAUGUGGACUUGGGACGCGGCUAUUUUUCUUUUCUCUUUCAUAAAGAGAAAGAUAGCAUGCAUGCCAUUUAUUUCGUUUAAGUCCUUAAACUUUUAUACUGUAAUUUUUGAGGGGAGAAAUAUUUAUUUUUUAUUUUUUUUGGGUAGAAAAUGAAAACUCUUUCUUUUCAAAAUAUCUGUAAGGUUAUUUUAGAGGGAAAAUUUUUUAUUGGCAAUCAAAUCAAAUGAUUGAAAAAUUAUUUUUUCUAGUCAAAAAUUAUUUUGGGCUCACUUUUACACUUCCCUAGUUCAACACAAGUGGAUAUUCAACCUUCAACCACCGGAGGUUGAUCCACAGCUUGACGAACAUCGAAUCGGUCUAAACCGAAGUACGUACUAAAUUUCAGCCCAGCUCUGACCAAUGUUUGUUCAUUGUGGUGCAAUUUCAGUCCCAAUGGGGCGAAGAACUUUUCGGGCUUUUUACUCUUUUAGCCCCAAUUUGGAAAGGGUGAAUCUUGGGCCAAAGCCUAUAUAACUAGGCGCAGCCCACUCCCAUCCUAGCAUAUACAGGCUCAAAGCGUAUUUGGAUGCACGAGUAUUUUGUUCAGUGUAUCUCUUUAUUUAAUAAAGAAAUAAUCGGUAGAAAGAUAAUCACUACAUAAACAAGAGCUAAAAGAUGAAGAUAUUUCGCAGAAAUUUGGACUCGUACCCACACAAAAUCAAGCAUCAACCAAAUACAAACUAGCAUGCGUAUCAACUAAUGAUCCAUCAUAUGCUGCAGAAAGAUUUAGAUGUCCAAGUCUAAGUCUCAGGCAAACAAGAGCUGUAAAAGAUCCAAAGCGCAGGAGAAUUUGAGUAUAGGGUACAUAAUGUCGCUUACAUACGCGAUGAGUGGAAACAAGAGAUAUUUCAAUAACAAUUAAGAAGCUAAAAGAGUAAAUGGUCUCACCAAAUUCAAAUUUCACUAUUACUCGACACCCUUCCACGAUUUGGAGAUGAAUAGCAUCCUUAUAGACCAAGAAAAGUUUGAGAGGCCACUUCAACUUUCAAAACUGCACAUAAUCCAGAAAUGCAUAUGAACUAUAUUCAGAGCUAAUGGCCACAACAAAAGACUACCAACUGAAUUUGCUAAUCUGAAAUAUUUCAUGCGGAAUAGUGUUUGGAAAUGUGAAUCAACUAGGAUUCGAACUUGGGUCUCGGGUACCAACCACCAAGUCCUUUGCCACUUGCUCUAGGGACAGUCGGUUUUCAUGCGGAAUAGUUGAUUAACGAAAACAGGCAGAUAAAAAGGAACAAAAUUCAUGUGAACAGCAAGAAGAAUGCAGAGUUCUUCUAAAUGAUCAGAGAGGAUGGGACAGCAUAACGAUUGGAAAGAAAAUGAACAAAAAGCUAAACCAGAUAUCAAAUUACAAUUACCUCAGCGCUAUUAACGGUCACCAAAGCAAUCUCAUGGACAUAAUUGCUUCUUACGAAGUAAACAUAAUACUGAGGUACGAUGUUCGACAGUUAUAAAAUUGCACUGUAGGAUCUUCAUUUCACGAGUAAUACCCGAAUCAUACACUGCAAUAACAGGUUUUCACACUGACCCCACAGACAAGUGCUGUAUUGUGUUAUGCAACUUUAAACACUCUCCUUUUGGAAUUCAAACCAGCAGAAAUGCUGAGAAAACAAAAAAUACUGUUAAUAUUAAGAAUGGCAAAUUACUUUAGCUGCCUGAAAAUAAUUUGUGUUAAGAAUGGCAGUUGGUAGUCAAUACAUUUAAAGUGAUUUGUCCAAAAACAAAUACAUCAUAAUUGCCUGAAAAAUACAGUUAAAGUAAAUUGAACAAACUUUGUCAUUAUUUCAGUCAAAUAAAUUUUCUUAAUAAUCUUCAAUCAACUGAAAGUCAAAUAGCUUGAAUAAUCCUAAAUAUAUCCGAGCACUGAAAGAAAGAGGGACAUUUGAGCCAUUUGCAUUUAAUUGAAACAAUUACAAAGUUCAUAAAGUUUAUUUUAAUGUUUCAAAGUUCGGGCAGUGAUAUAUGCAAUCAAGCAAAAUGUUCAGGGGAGCUAAUCAAGUACUCACAUGCUUCAUAUUCAUCCUUCUAAUCAAACAUCAAUUAAUGGAUUAUAGAAAACAAUUCCAGAUCAAACCCGAUCCUCAAAAUUACAUAUAGCACGAUUCAUCAAGCUUAUAAAACGGGAUUUUGAUUCAAACGAAAAGCAAAGCAAACACCAUGCACUUCAGUUAUAUAAUACCAGGCCCAAAUCACCAAAUCUAUGCUUUUAAAAAAAAAAAAAAAACACGGAGAGUAGGAGCCCGCACAGAUCAACAUCGCAUGGAGGCGAAGGGAUCCCCAAAAUUACACAUAGCACGAUUCAUCAAACUUAUAUAUAUAUAUAUAUAUAUUAUAUGAUCCAAUAUUUGAGGACUUUUUACCGACCGUUCCUAACGCAAGCGGCAAAGGGCUUGGUUGGUACCUGAGGUCCUAAGUUCGAAUCCUAAUUGAUUCACAUUUUCAGUUAAGUUUAUUUAUAAAAGAAAUAAAUAAACCGGAUAGCAUGUUACCUAUUUCUUAAAUUAAAAAAAUUUGAGGUCUUUUUCUCUUUGGCCCCAUAAAUAUUUGUGCUAUAUUUAUCUAAGUAAAAAUGCUCUACAAGGAUAAGAAUCUCGUCCCAUUGGACGAGAUAAUUCACUAAUCCAAUGAGAAUCAAGGCUAUUCACGAAAUUUUCCAAACACUUACAUUGUUUUGCCUAGCACGAUAUUUAAAGUUCACCGCAUUAAUUUUUGGUGCUCGUGCACCAAUGUGAAAGGGACCGUGGGCUCCACGUGUCCACGUGACACAUGGCCCACAAGAUCUUCUGCUUCAAUAAAUUCUACCUUAAAUUUUGGGCUCUCAUGUCCAUAUUACUGUUACGUGGUCCACAAUAUGGAUUUAAGCUUAUAAUUUAUUUAUUUUAUUUUCUUUGAUAUUAAUAUAUAAUUCUAGGCUCUCCACAUGACUCAUUUCAGUAUUCAUCCGUAACAGAAUAAAUUUAGAUAACUCAAUAUGGACGGUUCGAAUUGAUACUGCUAUGAGCAGUAGGGCUGGCAAAUGAGCGAGCCGGCUCGCGUUCGACUCGCGUUCGACUCGAUAUUUGGNGGGAGAGGUCGUACGGAUCAACAUCGCGGCGAUGGCGGAGGGAUCGGGGGAGGAGAUUUAGGCACCCUUGGCGGCGGCGGCGGCGGAGGGAUCGGAGGAGGAGGAGGAGGGGGGAGAAGGGGCGCGGAGUGGGGCGACGAGGGAGGCGUCGGGGUCGAAGUUAGGGUUGAGGGAGCGGUCGAUUGCGUCGCGGCCCUUGUCGAGGCAGGGCUUGCACGCGAUCUCGAUGGUGAUCCACCCCAGGAUCACCGCCGCGAUCGCCACCACCGCGGUCACGAUGGCCCCCAUACCAAUCGACGGUCCAGAUCCCUCGAUCUCGAUCACGAUCACGAUCACGAUCACGAUCACGAUCACGAGGAGGCCCCCCUCUCUCUCUCUCGUUUCUCGCUCUAGCUCUAUUGGUUUAUCAGUGUUCGAGGAGAUCUGCGCCGCUGCGCGGGACACGGGGAAGCGCUUUGCCGUCCGAGGAGAAAGACGAACUAUUGCCUGGACCCGGUUCACCAUGUCAUCCGCGGACAAUUAUAAUUGUGGAAAUUCAUAUUCCGGACUACAUGAUCUCAGAACUUUUUUUUCCAAAAAAAAGAUGAUAAUAUUUCUCCCGAAGUUGGAUUCCCACAUGGAUCUAUCUCGAAUGAAAUAGGGACUGAAAAGUAUUUCUCCUUAUUAAGAAUGGAGUGGUGUUGAUACAUCUUAUAAAAUUUUCCAUCCUAACUUUAGUAUAUAUAUUAUGAUAUAUAUUUUUAACUAUAAAAAUAUACAGAAUUUAUCGUAAAGCUACCAUACUAUCAAAUGUAUAGAGAAUCUAAUGCUUUCGAUUUUUUAGCCAUUAAAUCAGCCUCAUUAAUCAUUUCUAAUCUUUGGAUUAAUACUAUUAUUCUGUGAAGACCAUUCAAUCCUACCGAUACUACUCAAUCCUAAGGGGGACCAUAAUCAUCUCAAACGUACAAUUCUUAAUCCAAGAGUGAAAAAUUCGAAAGUAUCAAAUUCUUUAUACUUUCGAUAGCGUAGUAGCUCUAUAUCAGAAUCUACCUAAACUAUGGAUCGAGCUACACAGUCUUUCAAAAUUAUAAUUUUAAUAUCAAACCUAUCAAUUUAUUUAAUUUGAAUCAGUCAACAUCACUUGAACUUUACAAGUCUAGUUAGUAUAUAUUUUUUUUAGUUCUCGCAAUCAUAAAUUUAUUAAAAUAAAUAAUAAGUUUAAAAUUUUAAGUUAAUGAUGACGGACUCAAAUCAAAUAAAUUAAAAUAUUGGAUAGUAAAAUCAUAUUAUUUAGAUGAUUUAUAGAAUAGAGCUACUAUACUUUUAAAAGUAUAAGAGAGUUUGUGCUUCCAACUAUUUAGCUUUUGAUCAACCCUUUUGACCAUUUUUGGCAUUUGAAUUAAUAUUAUUAUUUUAGAGGACCAUUCAACUCUAAGAAAAACUACUAUCAUUUCAAUCAUAUAAUUCUUAGUCCAAAGGUCAAGAAGUCAAAAAUACUAACUUCAUUAUACUUUCGAUAGUACAGUAACUCUCCAUAUGAUUUAUAUUUUAACACAUACGUAAAAAAAAAAAAAAAAAAAAAAAAAAACUGAACUGAACAAAAAAAAAAGGUGCGGCUCAUGGCGACGUGGUAAACUAAACCCAGGAAAUAUUUUCUGCAGGGCUGACACGUGGACCUGACAUGUGGGCCCCAAGUGUCUGUCUCGUAAAAGCGUCUCCUCUUCCCCCUCUUCGCCCCCCUCCCGUUAGAGAGAAAAAGUAAAGAGCGAGCGAGAGAGAGAGAGAGAGAGAGAGAGAGAGAGUCUCACACAAGUACCUUAAACCCAAUCCAAACCCUCCUCCCCCAAAACCCCUACCUUUCGCCAUGCCACUACCUCUCCUCGGGCGAUCAUGGCGAUCGCCCCUAUUCUCCUCACCCGUGCGAACCCUAGCAUUCUCCCUCGUCCAUCGAUCGACCUACGUCGACGUCGCCAUGAAGUGGAAGAAGGACCCCUUCUACGACUCCAUCGGCGUCCUCGCUCGCUCCAGGGAUCUCAAGCCCCUCGUCUCCCUCAAAAGCAUCAUCGCCCGCGCCCCCUCCGACGCCGGGAUCCCCGUCUCCGCCGUCUCCAAGCGCGGCCGCGCCCUCGAGACCUCCGGCCGCCGCGUCGCCUCCUUCCUCCGCCGCUACCCCGCCGUGUUCGACGAGUACACCGGCCCCAACUACAACCUCCCCUGGUUCAGGCUCACCCGAGAAGCCGUCGACCUCGACCGCGAGGAGCGCGCCGUCUAUGACGCCCGAAAGCCCGAGAUCGUCGACCGGCUCCGGAGAUUGAUCCUCAUGUCGAGGGAUCGCCAAUUGCCGUUCAGAAUUGUGCAGGGGAUGCUGUGGUAUUUGGGCUUGCCCGAAGAUUUCCUCGAAGACCCCAACAACAUCUCUAAUGGCAGCUUCGGGGUAGUCGAAAUCGGAGACGGGGAGAAAGGAUUGAGCGUUGUCGGUGGUGGAGAUGAGCCAGUGUUUUCGGCGCUCCAGCGGAACGCACUGAGGCAAUUUGGCGGUUCUGCGGAUUCGCCUCCUAAGGAAGUUGCUUUCCCACUAUUCCCCUCUAAAGGCCUCCGGUUGAAGAGAAAGAUCGCGCAUUGGUUGGACGAAUUCCAGAAGCUUCCGUACGUCUCUCCGUAUGAGGAUUUUUCUCAUUUGGAUCCGAGCAGUGAUAUCUCGGAGAAGCGGGCGGCGGGAGUUCUUCACGAACUUCUUAGUUUGUUUGUCGAUAAUUCGGCGGAGAGGCGGCGGCUUCUCUGCCUCAGGAAGCACUUGGGGCUGUCGCAGAAGUUCCACAAGGUGUUCGAGCGGCAUCCCCAUGUGUUCUACCUGCUAUUGAAGAGCAAGACCUGCUUUGUUGUUCUAAAAGAAGCUUAUUUUGCCGGUUCGGACACCGCAUUGGAGAAGCACCCGAUGCUUGCGAUAAGGAAGAAGUAUGUUAAGCUGAUGGAUAAAUCGGACGCUAUUCUGAGAAGCCGUCGGAGUAGGAAACCUGUGGAAGAUGCUGCCGAGGGAAGUUAAGUUGCUGCUAUUGAUUCGAUGGAGGAUUCUGAUGGGUUUAGCAGAGGACCAUUAGAACUUGAGCGGAAGUCGGAAGAUUGGAGACAUGUUUGAAGCUGAAAUUGGCAGACUGCUUGGGGUUUGUUGAAUAGUUGAGAAGAAAUUCAUCAUUGUGCACAGAGAAGCUGGAAAGAUACAGGCAUUCACUUGAAUUGUGUUAAGAGGAGGCUAACUCGAGUUUCCGUGGCCAAUUUUGGUGCCAUAUAGUAAAGUCGCCGUAAUAUGCAGCAGACCAUUUGAAUUGCCACCUUGAGAUUGUGCAAGUCCGGUUAUAAAGGUAAAAAAGUUUCCUAUUUAGUUAAAGACCUGGCGAAAACCUUGUUAUAUCAACCGUACAUUCUGUCUACUGAUCUUUACCGUCAAAUUGAGCUAAGAACAAAGAGAUGGAAUUUUGAUUACUGUUUCGUGAUUUGCUAUUUGGAACUGAGAACUCCCUUUAGUAUGAUCGAAGUUUGCUUCUUCAACCUUGUUCAGCAAGUAGUAAAUGCCAAUCUAAAACUAGGAGCACAAUUUUCAUGUUAUUCUGAAGUUUGUUUCUCAGAAAUAGAGCUAAAAGCAAAAGUUGGUGAUUUAUUUGACAUCUACCUCUACCAAUAUCUGAGGAAUGACUGAAAUCUUCUGGAAAAGAGGUACCAUGCAGACUCCAAUUGUAAUGUGUGGUUUUAGCAAAAUAGCACAUAGCAUUGAUGUCUUAGCCGAGAUUGGUAAUUUCUUACUCAUGCUGAUUUUCUGCUUCCAUUUAACUAUGUCUGAUGUAAUUCUGUCGGACUCAAGAUUAGUUUCUUGUGCUGUUAGUUUUUUAGGUCUUAAUUGCGCGCUCUUGAUGGGCCAACCUGAUCCAAUAAGUUGAGCAGUUCUUGGUGAUUCUUGGUACUGCCGACAACUGCAGCAAGGAGUUAAAAGAAACACCUUUUGAAGAA
This 68854-nucleotide long non-coding RNA is filed under the name Ananas comosus (pineapple). RNAcentral describes it as "long non-coding RNA (ACOM_LNC014491)". Lineage: Eukaryota; Viridiplantae; Streptophyta; Magnoliopsida; Poales; Bromeliaceae. The record is from RNAcentral.